UUUUUUUUUUGGGUUCUGAAGAUGGCAAAACGCUCGGUGCAAUGUCCUUCGGUUGGUGGUCUUGGACCCAUCCUGAGUGCCCCAAAAUCUUGUUUUUCAACCGUUGCCUAGGGAGAUUGUUGUGCAUGCAGCGAGGAGGGGUCAUCAGUUUUCGUCGCCCAAGCCUCCCUAUGACCCGCAUUCGUGCGGUAGCCAACGAAGGCGCUGAGAUAAUGCAAUUUCUUUAGGUUAAGCACACGAAGACCCCAUUCUAUUUUGACAAGCUCCAAGCAGCUUCUUGUCUAGUUGACUUUGCAUUUGCCGCCUACAAGUUCUCUAUCACCCGCUCAUAAGAAGUGUUUCCUCGAUUUAUCUAGCUCGUUUAGCACCACUUUCGUCAUGUUUAGGAUGGUAAGAAGGUGUACCGACGGAGAGAUUGAGAUCGAUUUGGUUAAAGCUCAUCUACCCUGCCUUAAUAAUGAGGUCCACUUCAGACCGAUAGCUUUGCAGCAGUUUUGUCCACUAAGAAUUGCAACUCAAUUUUUUGUAGUAGUCUGAUCGCGAGCGGUAGUUCAAUAUCGUAUUGAGAACCCCAUUCAUGUUACGGGUAGGUCAGCCAGGAUUUCAUCUUUAUCAAUGUUGCUGCAGCUGAUGGGUGCCACGCUUAUUUUCUUCGAGGGUUGUUUUUAGGCAUGUAAGCUUGAUGAACCGGUGCAGCGGUUUGUUUGAAAGCCUCCACAUAAAGCCACGUAAGAUCGUAUGUGGACAGUCUAGAAAAAGAGAUAAAUCAUAGAAAUUCUCUCAAACUAGCAAAAUAUCAAGCCAUCAAUUCAGUAGACUAAAAUCAUCACAACCAUUGGAUUUAUUAUGUUUUAAUUUUAAAAAAUUACACACCUAUGUUGUAUCUAAAUUACACACAUCUGCCAUUAUGUAAAUUAACUAAAGUAAAACCCUAAUUUUCAUCUAAAUUACACACUUAUACCAUUAUAAGAAAGAUUUAAAAAACCCCAAAUUUGCAUCUAAAUUGUCCACCUAACAUUAUAAAAACUAACUUAAAGUAAACCCUUAAAUUUGCUUCUAAAUUAUCCACAUAUGCUAUUGUUAAAAAUAACAUGAGGUAACUCUAAAUUUGAAUCCAAUUGACCUUCAUUAAAAAUAUACCCCAAGUGUUGAUUUCUGAGUAGGCUCUCAACCAAACACUUAGAAAUAUGAACAUAAAUGAGAGGAAUUGAACCGUGAAGGGACUUGUAUUUCUCCAAAAUGUGAUCCCUUGUACAGUGGGAUGGCUUCCCUUUUAUAGGGGGGCCAAUGGAUAUUUUGCAUUCCAAUAUUAUCCUAGUUAACUGCUACAUUCUAUGCUGUACAUGAUGGUAAAAAGGAGUCCUAAUCCGACUUGAACUCUACAUGUGAGUCACGCAGUUCAUUGCAAUCUGACUUUUAAGAAAAUUGAGGAAACUCAAUCUAAAAAUUUAAUUGUUAGAAAUGUGCCCUUAUUUUUCUCAAUGGGAGACUCAACAUUAAUUCUCACGAGAAAAAAAGAUCUAGAAAUUUUCACAAAAUCAAAAACAUCCGGGCAUCAAUCCUAUAGACUCUAAUACUCAUAGCAAUUGGUCUAUUAUGUUUUCUAAAAAAUUAUCUACCACUAUCAUUAUGAAAAUAUUACCCAUAUAUACUGUUAAAAAAUAAAUAUAAAAUAACCUCAUAAUCUUCAUCUUAAAUUACCCAUACAUAUCAGUAAACAAAUAAAUUUAAAUACCCUUCUAAAUUUGUAUCUAAAUUAGCCACGUAUGUCAUUAUUAAAAUAAGCAACAGUAAAUAUUUAUUUUUUAAUCUAAUUAUAUGCAUGUUCAUUAUACAGAAGUGUCAAAAAUAAACUAAUAUAUAAUUCUAAAUUACCUAUAUACAUUAUUAUUAAUAUGAAAAUAUUAAGUUGGGGUAUGUAUGCAUGAUUGGUGUCACCAUAUAGAUUAUUUAUAUAAGGAUGGGAGGAAGCCAUGAAAAUAUUAAUUUAUUUUCAUGUUAAAUGUAGUGUAUAGAGCUAUGAUGCAAGGUGAAAAAAAGUAUGAAUAUGGAUGAAAAAGUGUAUAGAGUAAUUGCUAAAGUUAAUAACAACUGACGAGUACACAUCUAUAUGAAUAAUUGAGUAUUAUGUUAGAAUCUUAAAUAGAUGAUAGAGUCGUACAUAAAUAAUAUUGAUUAUUAACUAUGGGGUCUAAUUUUUAAAUUAUUAUUAGUCCGUGCUCUUGAUAAGCUGGUUGAACUAAAUCGAGCUGUGAAAAUUGCAUCCACAUUCAUAGUUGAUUGCUUAUUCCAGGACAGGAAGGUGAGACAAUGGCAGGAACUUCACUUAUAAUUACUACCUCUAUUCUUAAAUAUAAUGAUGUUUAGAACAAGCUAGUUCAAAAAUGAACCAAUUUGCUUGUCCUAAAUAACAUAUAUACUGUGGUGAAGCCUACCAUGAUAUCAAGCACCACGAUCCUCAUCGAUCGAGGACGGGUCCCAAACAAGUCAACAUCAGCAACCACACCUGGAAAACAAGCCACAAGCAAGACUGAGUAUACUAAUACUCAACAAGGCUUACCCAUCAGGUGGUAAUUACUCCACAACCUUCUAGACAUGCAGGCUUUUGGCAGUGGGUUUGUUUUUGCCAAAAGCGACUAAUAAUUGAUCCUUAUUUUCAAGUUUUAGCAUCAGGUUUUAUAUUCAUUUACCAUUCUAAGUAAGCACCUAAUCUAGUCAAACGGAGCCCUCUAUUUUAAAUUGUAGGUCAUUUUAGCAUUUCUAGUUUUUCUGUAUAUCUAGGUGCAUUGAAAAAGCUAAGAACCUAGAAAAGCAAAAGACAGUCUAUAAUUUGGAACGGAGGGAGUAAUUAAUUAGUACUCCUUCCAUCCCAAAAUAUAGCUACAUUAAAUGUUCAAAUUGUCCCAAAUAUAACAACGGUCAGGGUUCCAACCCCACAUUUUACAUAUGAAUGGACCAAAAUACCCUUAUCGUCUUAUCUCUCCACGCGUCAACCAAAUGGCUGGAUCUCCGAACGGUUCGUCGCCCUCUCCCCUUAUUCCGUGGUAUAAUUGGCGUUAAUUUGGUGAAGUAAAAGAUAUGGCGCACACCUAAUUUAGCAGCAAGAUUUUGCAUGGUAAAAAAAAAAUGCAUAUCGCAGUUGUUUGCAUGGCUCUCAAAAUUUAGAGCUGUUGAAUCGCUGGUGCCAAAUGAAUCAGAUUUGGCAAGCGCUGCUUUUUAGGCUAUACAAAUCUGACUCCAUAGCAACAAAAAGGAAACUCAGCUGGAUAACUUGCAUCGGAUGUGGAGCCAGGCAACACGGUUAGGCACCCGCAAAAUUAGCGUGUCUUUAUUGUGUAACAGAGCUGUGCGUAGAGGACGGAAGGAGUACUAGUUAGUAGGCAAUCUGGCAAUGCAAACGUGCAGUCGUGGGGAUCAACUCAGGGUGAUGCUGGAGUCGACCAGGAUCGGGCUCCUGACGACGUGAUCGUGCGACACCCAGCUCAGUGUCCCCUCGGCGAGCUUCUGCUCGGCGCUGGCUCCGGCGGCGCUCACUGUGACCGUGAACGUCUUCCUCUCCUUUACCUCCGUGAACUCUAGCUCCGCCGGCUCCACCUUGAUACUCAGCCCUUUCGGCGCUUCGAUCUUGGCGGUGUAGUUCGACUUCGCCGGACCGACGUUGGUCACCGUCCGGUUCACCGCGAAUGGCUCGGCGCGCAGCGGCACCAGUAUCGCCGGGUAGUUCAGCUCCGCUGCACCGAUGGGUUCGAUCUCCGUGCAGGUCAAGCUAGCGUUUCCGGCAAUGGUUUUCAGGGCCGCCUCGCCGAGGAGCUUGCAGACGUAGCCGGCGUAGUCGCGCACGCCGAGGUCAUACACCAGGCCGGGAUCGACGGCCCUCGUCGGGACCACAUGUCCGGCGCCGACGGCGUAGAAGCUUGCCUCCCGGUGCUCUUCGUCCAUGAUCUUGUGGCCGUCGUUGUCGACGGCGCUGGACGUCGUCAUGAUGGCGGACUUGAUCGCAGCGGGGGACCAGUCCGGGUGCGCCUUCUUGACGAGCGCCACGAUGCCGGUGACGUGCGGCGUCGCCAUGGACGUGCCGGAGAUGACGUUGAAGCUGUAGGACCCGGGCCCCGCGACGGGCACCUCCGACGGCCACGCGGCGAGGAUGUUGAGCCCCGGCGCCAUGAUGUCCGGCUUGAGCACGCCGGGGCUGGCGACGCUGGGACCCCGCGACGAGAAGGCCGCCACGAUCGGCGCCGGCUUCACGCCGACGACGGUGCUGUUGAACACGAUCGUUGCCGUAUGGUUGGACGUCGACGAGCCCUUCAUGGCGUAGCCCAUGAUCUUGGUUCCGUCGACCGCGGUCACCUGCGACAUGGGGAGGUCGUAGUACUUCUCCAGGACGAUGGUGUAUCCGAAAUCGGGUUCGUUGAUGAACACGAUGCCGACGCCGCCAGCCUCCCGGACAGCUUGGAUCGAGCUCAUGGGUGGCACCGGCGUCUCGGUGUCGCACACGACCAUCAUGCCGGUGAUGUUGACGUCGAAGAAGUCGCAGUAGUUCAUGCCCUGAGAGUAGUAGAGGGGAUACACCAUGGAGCUGAAGUGCUUGUCCUGAGUCAACGACUCGCCUUCGAACAUCUCGCCGUCGCCGAGCCGCACGGUGGCGCGGAAGCUCCGGUCCACCGACCCGGCCGCCACGGUCAGCAUCCACGGCGCUUCGUUGGACAGCGUGGAGGGCAGCGGGCCGCUGUUCCCACCAGCGCACACCACGAGGACGCCCUUGGACAUCGCCGCGAACGCGCCGAUGGCGAUCGGGUCCUUGUCCAGCGGCGUGGAGACGCCGCCGAGGGACACCGAGAGGACGUCGACGCCGUCCCUCACGGCGGCGUCCAUCCCGGCCAGCAAGUCGGACUCGAAGCACCCUUGGGCAUCGCAGACCUUGUACACGGCCAGGUGCGCGCCGGGCGCCAUCCCAGCCGCGGUGCCGCCGCCGGCACCGAGGCCGAAGGCCGAGGCGCCUUCCACGAACCGGCCGGCUGCCGUGCCAGUGGUGUGCGUCCCGUGCCCGACGUCGUCGGCGGUGGUGUUGUCCCCGACGAACGACGCAGCGCCGAUGAGCUUAUUGUUGCACCGUACGGGAGGCUGGCAGCCGCCCUUCCAUUUGGCGGGCGGCGGCGGCAUGCCCUCGUCGCGGAAUGAAGGGUGCUUCUCGUCGAUCCCGGUGUCCAGGAACCCGAUGAUGGCGCCCUCGCCGUAGCUCGUCUCGUUCCAGACGCCUUGGUCGGGCUCCAGCCCGAGGAACGCCGGCGUGCGCGUGGUCAUGAGCUGGAACCUCCGCUCCGGGAACGCGCGCACGAACCCCGGCUUCCUCGACACGGCGGUGAGCUCGGCGUCCGUCAGCCUCGCCGCGAACCCGGACAGCACGCUCCUGUACGAGUGGCGGAUGCGCCGCGGGGCGCCGCCGCCGCCGGAGUCCUGCAGGAACGACUCGUGCCAGAAGCGGUGCGCGGCCUCGUCGUCCGCGUGCUGCAGGUGCGCCGCCGGCCGAGGCUCGACGAGCACGAUGUAGGUUCGGGCGGCGCCAUGGGACCGCCGGUGCUCCGCGCCGCCGUUGGGGACGUAGCCGAGGACGGGGCACGCCGCGGCGACCAAGACAAGGGCGCGGACGACGCGUGCAGCCGGCGAAAUCGCCAUGCACCCCAUGAUGGUUUUGUGAGCACGAUCGGACGAAGAUGCAUUUGGAGUUUAUAUACCCGGAGAGAUCCCCGGCAGGGUUUGUUCAUCUUGUUUCGCUGCAUCGGUCUACCGUGCACGCAUGCGUGAUCCCAAGAUACAAGGCACUGCGCCCCUAAAACCAUGAACUCGCGAAACGCGUGUGCCGUCGAUUUGUUGCUCUCUUGAGUCCGUGGUCCGGACUCAACAGCAUCGAUUUGGUUUGGUGUUGCUUGCAUUGCAUAUUUAGUGUGAUGCGCGAAUUCUGACCCUUUUCGGGGCAGCAAGAACUUGUGUGUUCCUGGUGUACGGAGUACAUCGGUAGGUGACCAUGUAAAAGAGCACAUUGUUCAAAAGAGAGGUUUUGCACUUCUCAAAGAGCUACUGUCGCAACCAAGAGUGUUAAACAUGUGUGUGACCUUUGCAUCUGCAUGUAUAUGUAGUUUGCAGUCCAUCUGGGUGUCCAUUCACAUUCUCAUAUGCAAGUUAUGUGAUCAAGAUCAACCCCUACUACCCAUGCUUCACUGAAUCUAGUUCUUCAGUAGACUGAACAAUGGAAAUAUGGAGGAGAUCAGAAGUCUCGACAAUAUUUACACAGGUUUAGUACAGAAACAUUGAAGUUAACCACCAGUGCUCAUGACUGAACAAUCAGGGCAUGAUGCAAUCCAGAGUGAAAUCAACAGCCACACAAGUCCGCAGCUAUCUCAGCAACUAGUCCAAUAAUCCAUAUGGCAUGACAGAAGCCUAGAAGAGUUCACAUCCACUAGCUCUACGCGACUGGGGACCCAAGGGUAUAUCUAGUAUCGCUUAUACAGAACAGAAAGCAAUGGGUCCACAUUGUAAUCAUGCCCUUUCUUGUCGGAGCAGCACUCCGGGCACUCAUAGUGACCUAUAUGCUCUGCUAGAGCAGCCGUUACCUUAACACAUUUACCAUGAAACCAACGAUCACACUCAUCGCAACAGAUCCAAAACCCAUUCCUACGGUAAUGGUUACCACAGCUUGCACAGACGGUCGGCUCCGUACCACAGCCUUCAUCUUCAUCCUCGAUCUCCACAUUCUGUUCAACAACCAACCAAGAACUCUUUGCAUAAGAAAAAUGGAACUCAUUUUGUGUUAGCUUCAUGCAUUAACAUCUCGAUUUGCAUAUUCUGAGCUUUGAAAAAAUAAACGCAGCGUACCAUUUUCUCUAGAUGACAUAUGCGGUGAUAUGUGUCACUAGCGACAAAAGCUUCAUGAACAGUUUGCAGACUGUUGAUCAAAGCGGACAAGUGCUGCCUGCUAGACAAAAACGAGCAAUAAUUCACUGUGACACAUGUUUUCACCUAAAGCUUUCACAAAAACUUGACAUCAAUGCAGGGCAAAACAUUAAUAACUAAACAUAUGCCACAAGGGACUCUUGAAGUACAACAUAAUUUCAAUAACUGAAUCAGAAAACAAGGAGACAGUUUUCUAAUUUGGCAUGGCACAAGGAUGAUGCAGCAGAAAAGAAUCUAAUUAAUAAGCUUAUGAAACAAAUUUAUUGCAACAUAGUCGUUCAGCUAAGCCAACCUUUCCAUUUUUUAGGAUGAUUUACUCUUGACUAUAUAAUGUAUGAUGAUUUGGAGAAGAAUAGAUGGAUGUUGACCCCACUACUAAAAGCAAACUAACACCAAGUAUUUUGGUUGGCUUGUACAGGAUAGACAGGGAGUACUUGCUAACUUUGGAGAUUUUAUUGCGAGAUUCAAUUUAUAAAUACCAAAUAAUUUCAUUAAAGGGCUCGUGUCAUCACAAAAUGAAUAUACCAUAAUCAAAAUGAAAACUUUUUGCUCGAAAAAAUCAAAAUGAAAACUUUGGUGCAAAGUUUUUUUUCACCCAAGAUAAUUCUUUAGCAUGUGUAAACACUAAAAACAAGACAUCCAAUUAGUAGUUAGUGUGAACUAAGUAGAGCUAAAUGCCAGCAUGGAAAUGUUGAAAUCUAGCUCCGAUAUGCUUACUACAAUAGCCCACAAUUAGUCAGAUGUUUCCAUUUGUAAAAACUCAAUUUUGUUAUUUUUGCUAAAUUAUCAGUUUUAUUUUUAUUUUACAAUUUGCAAAAAUUGUAGCUAUAGUGAGAAAGUAAGUACUAGUUGGAGGAACUCCAAAAGUUCCCUUAUAUUACCCCAAAACCUGAUUUAGGGAGAAAAAUAAAAAAAUAAGAUCCAACAACUCUCCUAUUUUCCCCGCAAAAAUACAACGACCCCAAAAACUCCCCCAUCGUCCCGCGUAUAUCCGCAUCGCGACUCCUCCCCAAUCGGCCCCGCGUCUUCCUUUCCCGCGUGCAGAGCCGGUCCCGCCGAAACUUUUCCCCGCUCGCGCCAGUUCUGGGAGGAGGCAAGCGUCGGAGGCACGAGCGGGCUUGCGGCGGCGGCGCGAGUGGCCUUGUGGCGGUGGCGGCGCAAACAGGCUUGCGAUGCAUCGACCACGUUCAUCUGCUCCAGUUCGGCAGGGGCAAGAACGGCCUGCAUCGAUCCCCCACCCUCCCCUGUAGCCAUCUCAAUCAAUCCCACCCGCCGCCGCACCUUCGUUCGUCGUGAAUCGCCACCACCGCCGCCGUGGCACCUCAAGAGGCCACCCCAACGCCAAGAACCACGAGAUCGAGGCCCCUACGUCGUACCCGACGCGCGGCUCCGACCUCAUCGGCCUCUCAUCGUUAACUACGCCUGUCGCCACGCCCUCAUCGCUACGGAAUCGAGGCCGGACCUCGCCGGGUGAGCUCGAACUCCGCUGCCUUUCCCCGUCGCCAUCCGAGCCUCCCUCACCCUCUCUUCUCCUUGUUUGGCCACGCAGAACCUCCGGAGGCUAUACCGACACGCGGAAGCAAGAACCCGAGGCCGGAACCCUGUCCACUGCGCGCGCCAGCAAGCCCUGUCCGCCUCCGGCCGUCGCUCGUCAUGCUCGUCAUGAAAUCAACGACGACGACACCCUGGUGAGCUGCACGAAAUCAAGACGACGCGGCGGAGGACAGAAGUAGGUGGCUCGAGCGCGCUUACCGUGGAAGGAGAAGGCAGCGCAGAGCAGCAGGAGGACGGGGAACCGGAGCGGCGGGGGUGGCGGCCAUUGAUGAGGGGGGCAGCCCAGCUUAGGGGGCCCACGCGUGCUAAUGUGGCAAGUUUUAUUAUUCAGGAUCUGCUGUGGGAUGUAAUGAUUUUGGGGGAAAAAAUUUAGUAGAGCUCCCAAUACAUAGUUUUAGGGAAGAAUUUUUUGGGAAACUCUUAGAGAUGCUCUUACGGCUGUAAUUUCUUUACAACAACCACAGGCGCCAUCGAUUGUUUUCCAUUUUCCAUGUGCAUUAAACUCAAGUGCAAAUUAUGAGAAAGCAGAAUGCAAGGGCAUUCUGUGCCAAACUCCAACUAUAAUAUACUGUAAUGUUUCUUUUUUAUAUGUAUACUGUAGUGUUUCAGGUCAUGUCUAAAAGUAUCAAUUCACAUUUACUACAAACUUCACAGACAAAGUGGAAAAGAAAUCAAAAUUCAUAAAAGUAGGAAAAGUGCAAGAGGUUGAAACAACAUAGAGGUACAAUGUCCUAACUUGUCUACAUGAUUUUUCAUAUAAAUGGAAUGCAAAUGAACAUUUCCUUCUCAUAAUGAUCCCAGGGAUCGAAUUAAACUUAAAUCUCUCUACAGCAUCUGCAUACAGUUAUCCUUCAAAUUAAUCUUUCAUAUAUUAGUAAACAAAAUACACAUACAGAGCAUGACUGUGCCUGACGAGAUGUUUAUAGUGCUUGUUAGGCACUAGCUAAAGGAGAUGAAAUAUCUUGGUGAUCUUUCGGGGUUUCUAAUUGACAGAAAAAAAAUUUCUAGUAUGCUCAUUAUUCUCAUACCUUGCUUGAGUCCCCAAAUUGGCACCGAGGAAGAAGGAGAUCCGAAUAAGCCAUGCAUCACAAUGCGUGGCAAUAUAUGCAAGCCACUUUGGGUGUUUCAUGUUGCCCCUGACUAGUUUAAUGCCGAACAUUCUUGGAUCAGGCUGCCCAGGUGGCAUGAGCAACUUCGGCGGCCGCAGCUCCCAAUUCCCAUCACUGUUGCCAUACAGGUACAGGGACUCUGUACCUGCAAGCAAAACACAAGUUGGCUGAUUUACCUGGUCACAACAUUGCAAGCAUUUAACCACUGUAACAUUGAUUGAUCCGACGAGCAGGAGCGCUCACCUGCGUUGUACUUACGAGAGAACGCCUUCUCAUCUGCACAACACACAAGGCUAAUAUACAGUUAGUGGCAGAGCUAAGAGUUUUGGGACAUUCCCUGACAUGACAUUGUCGACAUAUUACAGGCUAAAGUAUGCAGUAGUGAAAAUUAAAUAGCACAAUCACAUAAUGUUCCAGUAGAGGUAAACAGGUAGCCAACACAAGGAAGUAAUUGCAGAGAAUUACCGAUGUGAGAUUUCACAUUUUUAUCGUGAGCUUGUAAGAAAACGUCUCGUUUGAGAAAUGCACCCCAAACAAUGAAAUAAGAUUUGUGUGCUUUUUUAUACCCCAUUGUGAGCUUAAUCUUGUUGAGAAAUUCACCUUUUCUUCUUCUGGAAAUACACCUCAACACACAAAGUUGCAGAAACAGAUGAACAUGCUUAUCAUGUUGCGAUUCUAAAAAAAGGAGAAACAAGUUUACAAUGUUGAUAUAUAGUCGUUCGAUCAGCACGCAGUGAAGAAAGAAAACCCCAUGAGGUUCAUCACUUUAUCGUGAGCGACGAACCAAGGUUAAUUAAAUGACGGGAAAAAUAAAUCUGUGUGGAGGAUAUCCUUUCGUUUAGAUCCACGAGAAGCAAGAACGGGAAGAACAGCGAGGGUUUUCUCACCUGUGGUGAGGGCGCGGAUGAGGGCGGCGCGGCGGCAGGUGAAGUCCCUGAAGAUGCACUCCACGGUGUACGACGGCGUGCUCGGCCUUGCCGGCGGCGGGAGCGGGGCAGGCGCCGCGGCGGGCGGUGUCUCCAUGGGCGCGGCCGUGGCCUGGCUGCGCAGGGGCGUCUGGGCCGGUAGCGGCGAGCAUCGGGAGCUUGCGGGCAGAGGCGGUGGAGGGCCCGCGGGCGUGCCCGUGGCCUGGCCGUGCAGAGGCUGGGCUGGUAGCGGCGAGCGUGGGGAGCUCGCGAGAGAGAUGGAGAGCGGAAGCAGAGCCGACGCCGAGGCACGGAAAUGCCACAGGAAGCUGUGCUGGGUGAGUCGGUGUUGAAUCUCUUUCUGUUGUCUCAACUCCCACGGGAAAAGUGCCCCAUUUUUCCAUCUCAUCAUCCCACCCCCUCUUUCACCUUUUUCUGAUAAUCACCCUCUUUAACCUUUUUUUUGUCCUAAACAUGAAGUAGAGGCUUUGCCUCUACUCUCCCUUCUUUUUGCUCCUAUAGUAGUAUCCAUUGGCACCAAUUGGCAAUUGUACAGUCAGUGGAUUCCUCAUUCUCCACACCCGCGUCCAAACUGCAAUUAAUCUCAAUCUAUAUUGAUAAUUGGUUGCAAAUAUAUUGUCAAGUAUAUACUCCACAUCAGAGGGCAAUUAACAAAAGCUAUUCUAGAAAUAAUGAAGCUCUUGGUGUAAGGUUAAACGGGCAACUGCAUUAUCCUAGUACUUUGAAGUACCAGACUUGUCAUUUGAGUAGCAUUCUUGCAAAAAGAAAAAUAGUGGCAAAUUUGCAAAUGUCCUGCUGUUGUUAAAACAUACUCCCUCAGGGACAGGGAGUAGCAUAUUACAACAACCGUGCAAAUUAGAAACACUUUGGAUUCUACCAGAAUACAAGUGCAUGUCUUAAAGCAUAGCAAUAAUUAGAAGACACCGUAGUCUUUCUCAUAUUAGAAAGAUAUAAACCAUUAACACAUCGACAUAGUGGCAACAGCACUUUGACUAUCAAUAUCAAUAAAAUUGUAUUGCUUUAAAUGGAACAAUUUAUGUGUCAUAAAAAUAAUUUUUAUAUAUAAUGAAUCUAAUAGUGCUAAUUUUAUAUUGUCAAUCUAUAUAAAUUUCAGAUAAUGGUAAUAAAAAUUUUAAAAAUGAUUUAGGUUCAUAAACCUAGAUGGAAGUAUAUUUGCAAUUAAUAAAUUUCAGAUAACGGUAAAAAAAAUUAAAAAUGAUUUAGGACAAAUAGACCUAGAUGAGAGUAUAUUUGCAACUAGACCAUGUGUGCACGUUCUUUUUUUCAAAAAGACUCGAACUUCUAUACAUGGUUUUUCUUUGACUUCCAUGUUUCCACACCGUGAUAUGAUGACGAUUUGUAGCCAGUAAAGAUUUUCAUAUUGCAUAUAUUAUCAUAAUGAAAUGAUCAAUUUAAUAUAUUCCUUUCCUCAAACAUUUAAUUUCUAUCGAAGGAGGUACCAAUUGAACAUGAAACCAAACACUGCCCUAGAAACGAAUAUAAACAUUAAAUGAAUCCUACCAUUAACGAAGUCUGCUAGCUGCAUCAUUGACUUCUUUUUACCGCGCGUGUUUGCACUUUUGCCCUGUAGUAUUGUGAGGGAAGAAUGGCAAUGGAAAUAUCUAUAGCUCGGCAGGGCAGCCAACUAGGUGUGUAGGUUAGAGUUUUAAACUGCAAUAACAAUUUAUGUUGUUCUAAACUUUCUUGUUAACUUACUGCAUAUAUAUUAGCUAGUACAAGUACUCUACAUCAGAGGCCAAUUAGCAACAAAAAUGAUAGAAAUGAAGCUCUUCAUGUAAGUUAUGAAAACUAAUAUACAAAUGACAAAACCAGGCAAAUUGGAAACACGUUUGGACUCUUCGUUCCAAAGACACGUGUCAAACAAAUAAGCAAAGCAAUUAGAUCGGAACAUACAAUCAGUUCCCACUGUGGUUGCUCAGGCAAAGCAUACUAUGAGUCGUUGCUGCCAUAGCUGUUUACCCAUGUCCCAUGUUGCAAUGGAAAAGCUUCAAUUGUUUUUUUUUUCAUUGAACUAUCGCUGGUAUAUAAUUUUGAUCCACCAACUGAAAUGACAACUUCAGCCAUCACUAUUAAAAGCCGGAUAAAACAUCCCUGUCACCCAGUACCUCCUAGUUUUUUAUACAUGUUUGUUGGUCUUCAGGUCGUGGCUACUAAUUAACAAACAGCACAAGAAAACUUAAAUCAAGCACAAGACAGACAGGGAGUCGUAACAUGGUGAACUUGAGAGGCUUGCGGCCGAGGAUAAAGUCCAUCUUGACAUCUACCUUGAAGAAGAAGAUCCUUUGUGCCCAAAUCCUUAACACGUCAUUAUCAGAAGUAAAUUGAUGAACAAAAAUCAAGAUCUUUGUGACAGCGUGGGACCAUGAAGCACAUUGGUGGUAUGAAAAGUAGUUUUUACCAACAUUACUAAUAACCAUAUAUACCUUUUCCAUUAGCAGCAUGAAUCUAAUCUUGGCCAGUGGUCUCAUGAGUGGUAAACUUGGUGCAUUGGUAACAUCAUCUGUAGCGCUAGAGUCAAAAUAACAAUUUGUAUUAAUCCCAUAAGAAGGAACAAUGGCAGACGAGAACCUCUAUGGAUGACUACGCUUCAUUGGUUUUGAACCACCAUCUCGAUGGGGAACAUACCUCUUGUUGAAUCUAUACCAAUGAUCAUGAAUUGUGUAUCUAGUUCUUUUACAUAGUUGACAAACGAGCCCCUCAUCUGAAUCAAAAGAGGCUGAUGCACCUUGUCCACGACCAGAAGGAAUACUGAAGCCACCAUGACUAGAACCAGCACCACGACCACUGUGCCUACGAGGGGCACCACUAAUCCGGCUAGACUGUGUUUAACAUUAUUGACCAAUACGCAAAAUUAAAGACCAUCCAUGGGAUACGAAGAACUGCAUAGAUAGCUCUAGACUCUAGAAGUUGGCAUGUAUCAACUACCCGCUCCCUUCGAUCAUCAAUGUGCUGCAACGUAGCCCAUAACCGAAGCUAAUACGUCACCCUAGAAAGCACCUACAAAAACUUUUUUGUCUACAAUUAUUAAACACAAUAUCAUUUAGCCUUGUGAGCCAAAUUGCCUAGCAGAUAGCUACGGCUCCAGUCAAUAAUAUAAAAUUAUUCUUGUGCCCCAUGUUUAGACCGUUUAUUAAACAGAUGUUCUAAAUUUACUGGUGAUUGUAUAACUAACACAAUGUGAAUUGUACGCCAUAGAAAUGUUGUGCAAUGACAUUCAAUGAAACAGAUGUCAGAUAGUUUCUGGCUUACUACAAAAACAGUAAGCUUUAUUCCCGUUCCAAUUCCACUCUCAUUUUAAGACACCACAUAAAUAUUUUUUACUUUGAGAGGCAUCUUCAUACGCCAAAUUUCUUGCAUAGCUUUAAUUAUGUUAUUGACUAGGUUCCUAUACAUUGAAUUCACUGUGAAUGCCCCCUUCUUAUGCAGAUUCCACGAAAACAAAUUCCUCCCCUCAUUUAGAUUUGUAUGUAAUAAACUGGCAACGAGGCUAUACACCACUUAGUUAACACAAACAAUUGGCAAUGGAAACUGUGUAUACACAUGUUUGUACUGUCGCUUCUUGUACAAACCGAUAUAUAAAUCCAUUUGUACCAUCACUUUCUCACCCACCCUGUAGUAGUAGUCCUUUCCUAUGGGCGCUGAGGUACUACAGAAGGAACUUAUCUGCUAACCGGGUCUGUUGUAGUGCAGGGUAGCAGUAGGGAAGCAACGAUGAGCAAAGCAGCAGCAAAGUUUGCUCGCUUCUUUUUCAUAUUUGUUGUGUUAUGCCUUAAUAAUAAAUAUUUUAGCAGUACAAAUAUUUGUUUCAGGCAUAUUAAUAAUUGUAGGAAAAAAGAUAUAUAAAUAGUGCGAGUAGUAUAUUCAGCUGAAUUUGUUGUUUUAAUGAGGCUAUUGCUGGUUGCUGAAUUCACCGGUUACCCCAAUUUGGAGGAAUACGGUGAAUGGAGUAAUACUAUAAUUUCCACCUAGACGAAAGGGAAGAUUUCUCUCCUCAUGGGGCCAUUGUAACAUUGGCCACUUCUCUACCGACUCAAUAUAUAUCCAUGUGGUUCUGUUUGCCUUUCGUAUCUUUGAUGAAUUGCAUGAUACUUCGUGCUAGACUAAGGGGCUGUUUGAUAUAAGGGGCUGUUUGAUACUAGGAGCUAAAGUUUAGCUCUUGUCACGUCAAAUGUUUGGAUGCUAAUUAAAAGGGCUAAACAUGAGCUAAUUAUAAACUAAUUGCAGAAGUCUUGGGCUAAUUCGCGAGACGAAUCUAUUAAACUUAAUUAAUCCAUCAUUAGCAAAUGGUUAUUGUAGUACUAUAUUCUCAAAUCAUGGACUAAUUAGGCUUAAUAGAUUCGUCUCGCGAAUUAUCCUCCAUCUGUGCAAUUAGUUUUGUAAUUAGCCUAUAUUUAAUACUCCUAAUUAGUAUCCAAACAUCCGAUAUGACAGAGGCUAAAGUGUUUAGCGCCUGGGAGCCAAACAGGCACUAAGGAGUAAAUAAAUCCACUCUUGAUCUCUUCUGCUGGUGUGUGGUAGAGGCUGGAACAAUGCAAAGUCUAGCCUCAUCGAUCAUUAUUCCUCCGUUUUUUUUUUCUUGAGCUAGUCCCCUAUUCGUCCUCUUCUCUUCUUGAGCUUCUAUAGGUGUCACUCUCUGUGAAAUGUAUGUUCUCAUUGACUUCAUCCCAAGAGCGACCCGGCCCUCUUCCUUUUCUUGUUCGGCCUACUUGAUGAAGCAACAUCUUCCUUCAUGAUGAUAUAUAGGAUACCUCUUAGAGUUGAGACUCUUGAGCAUCUGCUCCAUCUCCUCAUGAGUUACUGUACCUCCAGUCAUAUAUGACAUUUUGGACAGCAGAUUAGAACUGCAACCAAACCAAUCGGCUUCCGGAAAUGUCAUUUAAAGUUGAAUACUGGAGGCAGAAUUUUACAUCUUCAUUGGAUAUGGAGGUAUCAUAAUCACCACCAUUCUCUUCUUUACCAUCUUUGUAGACCGUGUCAUGCCAUAAUGAGAGGGGGAAUGAUGAAUUCGGAUUUCUAAAAAAACUUGUUUCUUCACCUGAAUAGGAUGUUUAAUUCUCCAGCACUUCAAUUAUGCUUUGUCUUGCCCUGUCUUAGCGCCAUAGUACCCCAAUCAUAUGCAUGCAUGGUUUCCAUCACCCAUGCAGCCUGUGUAUACACAACAAAUACUAAAGGGAAAAGAAAUGGCAUAUAUAUGAUGUAAUGUAUGUUCGCUGAGAUGAAAACCAUAAUUUAAAGAAUCUAAUACAAGAUUAUAUCUGACCAAGGAAACAGAAAAAUAGAUUCACUCAAUCUGGCUUAUGGGGGGCUAUAACGUUGACAUAUUUCACUCACUUGGGUCAAAGAGAAAUUUAAUGUGGGAAUGUAUAAUCUCCAAUACGAGGUGAGAGAUAUCCUAUGGCAUUAUUACCAUAGGUUAGGGUGCAAACUUUGUGGGAAUGUUAUAUCCAGUAAGAGGUAAAGGAUGUGAUAUGAGAUUAUUACCAUCGGUUAGGGUGCAAACUAACUAGAGCAAAGAGGCUGGACGUGCAGGAGUCCUUGUAUGCAUUUCUUCAUUAAUCUGCUCUAGUGAUGGUGGCUCUACAGUAUAGUUUCCUCGGUAACAUAAUUUUCAGUACUUAAUUUUUCAGUAUUACUAUUACUUUGAGAAUAUCAUACUAACUUCUCAAUCAGCUGCCGACCAUCUUUAGCCCUGCAUCCCAAGUUGGCUCGCUGUCUUGGUCUAUUUGGAGGAGUUUACAAGACCUGUCUAGCCCGUUUAAGGUGUCCCCUGCAUCAAGCAUAUGUUCAACCCCAACUCUCAAGCAAAAAGAAGUUUCCAACAGAAGCUAUGUUUUCUUGCCGGGAGGUGCCCCCACGAUGACACCAGGAUGUGAUAGCACUUAAAAAAUCUGUUAAUCCAUGAUGGUCAAAUUUCGUCACUGAUCACUGAAAAAACGUCAUAAAACAGCAUCUGUGACGAUUUUUAUAACAUCAUGUAUUGAGCGUCACAGAUUAACCUGCGUGACGGUUCUGCAUAAUCAUCGCAGAUCGACCCAAUCCGUGACGUUUCUAAACUGUCAUAAAAUAACCUUAGGCCCGCGCAGCCCAACCUAGGUCUAAAAUUAGUGACGAAAAUAACUAUCAUGGAUUAAAUGGCCAUGUCACCACUAGGCUGACAUGUCUGCUGACAUGGCUGCAAAUGUGGAUGCUGACAUGGCAAUCCAGUUUGCAAAUCCAUUUUGUUGUGAGCUUAGCGCAUUUCUUUUGUCUAGCCAAAUUUUCAACGAUGUUACAUUUGUGUUUUGAGCCGUACUGUUUCUCGGCCCUAAAAUAUUUCUUCCUAAUCUUUACGGCCCAUUAUUUUACAGGCCAAACAACUAUGGCCCAGUUCCAUACUAACCAUAAUAUAAUGCACCAGAAUUACAAUAUAAUAAAGUCACACAAUUCAAUAAUAUUUCUUAAAUUAAUAAACUCUCCAAUACAUUCACACCACCUCCAUGGCAAACGAAAAAUAAUUGUUAUCAGCAAAGCACAGCAUACUAAUCAACUAAGAUUGAUCUAUACUGAAUUCACGUGGGCAUCCUAUUUGCAUAGAAGCUAAAAAGGAAGAACAAACUCUGCCCUAGUACCAAUUAGACAGAUCCUGUACCUGCAAACAAAUCAAGGGCAAUAUGGAGUGAAAUCGAGAACAAAUUUCUGAAUAUUCCAUCAAGUAAACAAAUCUGAACCUGAGAUAAGAACUUGAUGCAUAUCAACUUUACAUGAAAAAUGUUACUUUGACCAGAUCAUGUUGAAAAAGCAGUGCAUAUCCAUGGAAAAUAUGACAAACAAAUGGCAUUAUCAGUGCUCAGUCCCACUGUCCAUGAACUGACCAAACAAUAUAAAUGAAGCUGGGUUAUCACCAUUUAGGAAAAGGUCGCAUACAUCAAAGACUAUUUUACAUCAAAGAACUGCAUGGCUCGUACCUCCUAACUGGUUCGUGAGGACACAGAUCUCCAUGGUAUGCUCCUCGCUCAGCAGGCAGAUCGAUGUAACUGUUAAUGUGAGAAGAGGGUUGCAACAAUUAGUGUGAACGCAAGAGAUUAGUGGGCACAUAUCUAGACUGAAAUAGCUCCAUCAAAGACUGCUAACUUGUAUGACCGUAUGAGGAUUCAAGAUACAAAAGCCAUAUUCUAGGCUGAAAUAUCUGACUCUUACAAUAAAAUAGGCUUUGAAUUCAGUAGUGGCAGUUUGCUAGUAGAAAUCUACAAAUCAAACAGUCCAGGCAACUGUUUUAGUCAUGACAACACUGAGGAAUGAAAGCAGGUCCUAGAAUGGAAGGAUGUAGGUAUUUGUAAACUUGCAAUACUCACGGAAUGGAUCUAAGCAAACAUGGAUGUAUGUGACCAAACUACACGUGCAGUACUCGCAGCAAACAUAUGUGACUAUUCAAAUGAACAGACGAGGUACAAGUAGAGCAUGUGAAACAAGAAGUAACUUUGCCCAGACCUACUUGCUUACUGUUAAUGUUGAAUAGCCUAAGUAAAACUUAACAUAACUACCCUCGUGCCGUCACCACCUCCACGCCUCGAGUGAAGUAUGCGUUUGUAUCAGCAUAUAUUACUGGUGGCCGAGCUCUCUCGUGCCAAGCAUCAUAACUACCCUGUUGUAUGCUGCUCUAGUGAGAGUAUCCCGAUUAGUCAGUGCAUGGGUGGGGAAGCUGCUCAAGCUUCGCUUGUACCCAGUUCGUUAAUUAAUUACCGGACCUAGCCCAUCUAGCUAGCUCUUGCAAGUUGUGUUCUGAUAUUUGCAGCUUUUUCUCUGGCCAGGCUGACCUUUGCAGCUGAAACUUGAAACCUAUCUGGAGACCGGUUUCAUGAGAAUUCCCAUUAUGUCACCUGCUAUGUACCAAACCUUAUUUCAUGGCCAUCCAUAUCAGUGACAGCUACAAAACCUACCAAUAAGAGAAAUGACCAAUUCUUGCAGACCUAGUUAGGAGUUCUUGGUCGUCCACCAAUAGUUAGUAUGCUCUCGUGUUUAUGUGACUAUGUGAGCUUGGAUGUGGUCGUGGGCAUUGCGUUGUCUUUGUUGUCUACUCUAAUUCACGUCUAAUUCACGUGUUUGUGUGGGUAUUUUCAAUUCGGUUUUGGUUUAUACCCCUUGGGGUAUUUUACUUGGGCCGAUAUCUUCUUUGGUUUCUCUAACACAAUAACACACGGCUCUCCAGUCUCCGGUGUGUUCGAGAAAAAAGAGGGGAGAAGGUCGACCAGAUGAGAACUAUGAAUGAGAAGUCAGAAGUAAAACAAAUUGUAUUAAACGAACUUAAUUAGUGCAGCAGCUCAUGACUGGCCGACUUGGGUUAACAGUAAAAGUUGCAUUGGUAAUUUUUAAUAGACCCCGACUUGUUAACUGCAGUCUAUGUAUUGAUAAAGAAGUUGAAAUACAAAACAGAAAAACAUCAUCACUCGUCUACGUACACGACUAAAGCAACCACAAUAAUAAAACCACCAGCAAGUCCACGAGGCAUGCAACCAAGGGGCUACCUUGUCUGAGAGUUUUACCUGUGUGCCAUUAUGAAAGUUGGGUCUAACUUCCAUACCCCUAAAAAGUUCGUCGACACCUGUAUGCCUAAGUGCAACUUGGUUUGUCCCUCCAUGCUAUUCCGUCCAUAUUUUCUGCUAACGGUGGUUAACUGCGCUGAGAAUGGACUCAAAUGCCCUUAGGCAAAGGAGGUCUGUUGAACUUAGUUGUUUGCCUCGGUGCCACUCAGAGGUCUGUUGUUUUGGUGCCAAAGGAGGCAGUGGUGUUGGCGCCAAAAGGCAGUGGUGUUGGCGCCAAACCCUCUGUGCUCCUCUAUAUAUACAUCUUGAGCCAUAUCUGUUGGAUCUCAUCAUCUCCUCUGCUCUCUCCUUCAUUCUCACUCUCAUCCACUCCUGGCGCACCCCAUGUCUGAAGCUUCGAGCAGCUAUGGGGGGAGGGUCAAGCGGGUCCUUUGCCCGAACUGUCAUGUGCUUGCCAACCGAUUCAUCUCCACGACAACAAAGAACCCAAACCGUGCAUUUCACAAGUGCCCCUAUUUUGCAGUUUGUGUUCUCUACUCAUUCUUGGUUGGCCUAUUUUGUUUGUUUUCCAAGUGCUAAUGCUUCAGUUUCUUUGGCUUGCAGUUUGGUGGUUGUCAAUACUACCAGUGGGAGGAUGAAAUGAUGGACAGUGGCAUGCAGUCACCUACAGCGCUAGAUCCCCUACAGGCAGUUCCCCUGCAGGCAGUGGCACCACCUGAUCCACUGUCCAUGUACCAGCAUGGUUCCAAUGGUGCUGGAGUGGUAGGCAAUGCAUUAGUGGAAAAUAGGGGAGACAAUAGGGUUAUGCAACAGCUUAGGUGGCUAGAAAAGAUGGUAUAUAUAUGCAUUUUCCUUGCUCUGUAUGCUAUUAUGAAGAAGUAGGGUUAUGCAGCAGCUUGUGUUUGUAUGAAUUGACAAGAUGUAUGGAUGGAUGCAUGAAUGAAUCAGCUAAGGUUUUAUCACAUUUCAUCAUGUCUACAACAUUAAUGACACAAAAGAUAGUACAUGACAUCCAGGUUUAAUCACAUUACAACCAAGGUUCAAAUAGUACAUGACAUGCCAUCACUGAGUAAUAGUAUCAGUUCCAUCCACCAAAACAUCCAGUUUUCAUCACAUCCAAAGUGCUGGACAUGGCAUCAUAGAGAAAAAUAAACAAAGAAGGGCUGGAUGGGGUACCUUUCACUGCAGGUGCAGUUUCUUCUUGCUCCUUGUAUUAGAAGAAGGGCUGGAUGGGGUAGCUUGGCUGGCUGCUGCAACUUGAAGCCUCUUUGGUGUCAGCUUCUUCUUAACUGUUGUCUUCUUCCUUGGUGUAGCAGCCUUGAUAAGGAGAGUGUCCACUAGGUCUGUUUGUACUGUGCCAACUGAGGUCUCAUGAUAAGGAGCCAGGAAAACAGUCUGCAAUGGUAUUGGGUCAUUGGAACCAGUUCCAAACCUUGUGACAAAUAUGACAGGUUAGAUGAUAACAAAUGGUGCAUGAAAAUAACAAGAGAAUUGCUCAUAAGCUCAUCUGGUUGAUGUACUUGUAGUUGUAGCUGAAGAAGAAGAAGGUGGCUUCCUACUUAUUUUCUUGGCACCAGAAGAAGAAGGUGGCUUCCUACUCCUUUUCUUGGCUGCUGCUAUGUCUACAGCCUCAAUUAUUGGGAAUUGCAUCACUGAUGGAGUAGCAACCACAAUGCUUGUCUCUGUGUUACAGCUUGCUACUUUUUUCAGUCUUUUCUUUGGGAGACCCCUGCAUAGGACAACUCAAUAUAAGUUUCAAAACAAUGUGAAUGUACACUGAUUUCAGUUAAGGUAUUAUACCUUUGAGCCUCCAUUGCAGCGAUGUCUUCAGGAUUGCCAUUCUUGCAAGUAUACCAAUGGUGCCCUUUUUCAUGGCAUAUUGGGCACUCAUGUUUCCUUGAGCUUCCCUUCUGGCUGCUGCUACCACCUUCAAGUGCUGAUUUCAUCCUAUUCUUUCUUCUUCCUCCAGCUGUUGCCCUAAGUAAUGGAGUGUGCAUGAAGAAGCCAUGGGUGUUGUUGGGCCACAUACUCUUGUCAGGAAUGCAAGGGAUGGAACCUUCAUAUGCAAUUUUGAAUUUGUCGACAGAAUAGUAAUCAUGCACAUAGUCUUCUAGUUUAGCACCAGGGAUUGAAGUGAUGUAGGCAAUAGCAUGUUUGCAAGGGAUUCCUGACCCUUGCCAAACCCUACAGGUGUAGGUUCUCUCAGGUAAAUUGACCACAAAUCUAUAUACACUGCCACCCUUAGCAGAAAUCUCUGCCACACCAUCAGGGGAAUCAGUGAUGACUUCAAUGUCAAGAUUGUAACUGUCUUCCCUCAGUUUCUUCUCAAUGUGAGGCAGAAUCUUCCCUGUGAAUUUCAUGGCAACUCUCUUCCUAUGAUUCCAUUUAAUCAAGAGCUUCUGUCUUAUAGUGUCCAGUAAAUCAUCAAUAUUCUUCCCCUUUUCAGGCUUUAUCCAAUUGUUGAAUGAUUCAGCUAGAUUGUUGGUGACAUAGUCCACCUUUGAUCCUGUCUUGUACUGGCUCCUUGUCCAAAGCUUCUUGUGGUUUUCAUGUAGAUAGACCAUUGCCUCAGGUUUGGCUUGAGCCAUAGCUGUAUAAUGCUUGUUGAACAAAUAUGGGCUCCAUGAAUAUGAGGCAGCCCAUAAGUGGUCAUCAAAAACCUUGCCACUGAAUCUUUUCUUGAAAUUUUGUACUAAGUGGUACAUACACUCCCUAUGUUCAGCUUCAGGGAAAACUUCAGUUACCCCAUUCAUCACUGCUUGGCCACAGUCUGUACAGAAGGUCAGUCCAUCUGGGGAUCCAAAUACUUCUUUUAACCUCUCCAUGAACCACACCCAAUUCUCAUUAGUCUCUGAAUCAAUUACACCAAUAGCUACUGGGUACAUCCAGUUAUGUCCAUCUACUGCACAAGCUACACACAACUAUCCUCUGAACCUUCCAUUUAAAAAAGUGUUAUCUACUGCAAGAUAUGGUCUAAAGCCUCUAAGAAAUCCAUCUACACAUGCUUUCAAUGCAAAGAAUAGCCUAUUAAACCUGAUCUUAUUGUUGAUUGUGUGAUGAUCAAUGAUAACAAAUGACCCAGGACUAGAUUCCUCUAUCUGGGCCUUAAACCUAAACAAAUUGUCAAAACUUUUAUCCCAAGGCCCAUAAAUCUGAUCCAUGGCAAGAUUUUUACCUUUGUACACUCUCCUGUAUGGCACAUUAACUUUGUACUCAUUCUUCAAUCUUCUAAUCAAUUCUUUUAUCCGAAUGUUGCCAUCUUCCUUCAACCAGUCUACCACUUUACUGCAGACCUAGUCCUGUGUGAUACCUACACACACACCAACCCUCUUAGCACUUUGACAAUCAUGAGGAUGUGGGUUCCUUUUCACCUGCAAAACAGUCAACACCAAUGCUUAUUAACAACUGAUGAUUCAUUGCAAAACAACUGGAAUUUACAAAAAGUAAAGCAACUCAUGUACCUUAACUGUCACACCAUCCUUCAGAGUUGAAGCAUGAAUCCUCCAUUGGCAAUCAAGCUCCUCCUUGAAUUUGCAGUGCACCCUAUACCUCCCUGGAUCACUCUUCUCAACUAAGUAAUGGUACUCAUGCUUAGCAGAAUGAGAAGCUAAAGCAAUCUUAAAUGCUUUCAUGUUUGAAUACAAAGUGCCUACAUCCAUAGGUGGGUUCUUCUUGUCAUAAUUGACAUCAGGCAUAGGUUCAGGGCCUCUAUCUAUUACCAUCUCAUCAUCAGACUCAUCAUCAGAACUCUCAUCUGACUCAGAGCAGAUUUCAUCCUCAGAACUCUCAGCUUCCCUUCCUUUAUUGCCAGCUUUAGGAUUUGGGGGAGGUGGAGGGUAGUUGGGACCAAGGUCAAGAUAUAGCCCUUCAUCGUCAACGCCCACAUGCUCAUACAUUGGGUUUGGGUUAGCUAAGAUUUCAGGUUCAUCAUAUUGUGUGUGUACUGUUGCUUGCUUCACCUAGGAUUGGGGAUGCAAUAGAAGGGGUCACUGGGGGAUCAACAGAUUUCUCACUACUACCAAACUCCCAAACUGGAAUGAUAGGAGGAUCAACACUUGGCUUAUGAUAUGCAAAAGUGAGGAAGCAGCAUUUCGAAACCUUAUGUUUUUCAAACAUUGCAAGCAAAUCUUGGUCAGUACAGACUUGGAUGUUGACCUUAGUGUCCAUGCAGUAAUAAAAAACUUUAACUACGUCUCCAUAGCCAUGAGGAUUCUUGUCAACAACUUCAGCAACCAGGGAUCUGAAGUUAGUUCGGUCAGCAUCAACAACUUUGCUCAGCUCGUACCACCGAGUCCGACAAUUGUGAGCAACAAUCCGGAUUUCUAAGUUGUAGCUACUGUUGGGGUCCAUCCUACAUAUGAACAAGGAGCAGGGAAUCAACACUACAAGCAUGGUGACGGUGCACAGGCGCAGGGCUAAGGGACCUAAGACCACGCAAGCGAGAGUACUUCGCAAGCCAAGGGGGGAAGCAACCAUUUGACUUACCCGUCUGGAAGCCAAUCCGGUCGAUCCCCGACGCCGUUGUUCUCCGCCAUGAGAAGCCGUGUCAAUCCACUAAUCCAUGCACGGGGGCUUCAUCUUCUUCUCCAGAACGCCUUCUUCUCUCCCCGCCCCACCCGUCAACGCCGCCACUGACUAGGGUUCCACCGCCGCCGCUACGAUUUCGCCGCCGCCGCUAGGGUUCGGCAACGGAUAGAGUGGGAGGAGAGUGAGAGAUGCCGGUCAAAAUUGGUCAACACGGCCUCCGCGCAUAUGCCUUAGAGACUAAGGAGACUAAGGGUACACUGGACAUUUUUGCUGCCCGGGCCCGCUUGUAAGAGCUCUCAAACGGCCAAAACCGAACGGAAUAGGGACGGAAUGGCAUGGAGGGAUAAAUCAAAUUGCACUUGGGCAUACAGGUGUCGACGAACUUUUUAGGGGCAUGGAGGUUAGACCUAACUUUCAUAAUGGCACACAGGUAAACUCUCACCUUGUCUAUGGCAGCAACAACAAACAGGGGGAGGAGGUUCACACAGCGAAGCCUCCAGGGAAGAUAUACAAUGUCCGCAGACACUACCAAUGCCAAUACAAAAAUCCGGUAAAGUUUUUCAAUCCCCUGCCCCACGAGGGAUGCGGAUCAAAGAUGUCACCGUUGUCAUCAUCAGAGCUUAUUAGAAGAUCCUUCUCCCAAACAAACAAUUCAUAUGGAAUUAUAAAUGUCUAGAAUAGUUCACAUGAUCACAUCUACUAGCGGCAUGUGACCUCAGGUUGAAGAGCACAUCUAUUGUUGCUUCAUUGAUCUGGAAGCAUUGGAUCUGCAUAACUAAUCAUGUCCUCUCUUCUCAGCGCAGCACUCAGGGCACUCAAAGUUCUUUAUGAGCUCUUCUUGACCAACCUUUACCUUCACACAUUUCCCAUGGGACCAGCACUUACACAGGGUACAACGGACCCAGAAUCCUUUUGCAAGGUAGCGAUCACCACAGCUUGCGCAAAAAGUUGGAUACGGACCACAACCUUCGUCCUCAUCCUUAGUUUCAUCAAUCUGUUCACCAAAUGAAAAUGACCAACAUCACUUUGAGUAAGAAAAUUGAAACUCAAGUUUGUGUAAUACUCGAGCAUGGACAACACAAUUUACAGAUUCUUAGCUUUCAACAGAAGCAACUUACCAUGUUUUCCAGAUGACAUAAGCGGCGAUAGGUCUCACUAGCAAUGAAUGUUUCCUGAACAGUUGGUAGCGAGCUAAUCAUAGUGAAUAAGCGCUGUCUGUUAAACAAAAAGAUCAAAUUAUGUAUUUAGAAACAAGGAUAUUAUUCAUGAUGGACAUAUGGAAUUGAAACAAAUAGCUGCUCACAACGUCCACAUGCACAUACAAUCAACCAUAUAAACCAAUAGCUACAUAACACUGUCAUGAUACAAAUUUAUAUAAAUGCAAAAGGUGACUAAACUACAAAUAUAUCUGCACAUACAAUGAACUGAUUUAAGUGCUUGACAGAAACUACCUAGCUACAUUAAUUAGGUAAAAUAAUCCGCGUGAUUUUUCAGAAACUUUACAUGCCACUACAUUCUUCUAGCUUUCUAACUCUUCUCAUGUAUCCUCUAUGUGAUGCAUUAGAUAACAAAUAUCAAUACUAAUAUGUGAUGCAUAUAGCUAGAUAAUGAUUAAAGUAACACGAAAUACCGUUCUCUAGCUUCCAAAUUUCCUGCAAGGAAGAAGGAGAUACGUAUGAGCCAUGCGUCAGAGUGCUCGGAGAUGUGCUGAAGCCACUUUAGGCGUCGCAUCUUAUCCCUCACCAGGUUGAUGCCGAGCUUUGGUUCAGGCUGCCCUGAUGAUGGCGCAAACAACUUCGGGGGCAGCACCUCCCAGUUCCCAUCAGUGUUGCCGUACAGGCAAAGGGACUCCAUACCUAUGUGCAGAAGAGAAAAUUUACAAAUACAUCCAAAACAACUGGUUACACCAAGAACUCGAGAAUUAAGAAAAUCUUGUGCGUUCGGUAUGAUUUUGGUCUCAACAAGCUACUCACGUGGGUUGCACUUCCGAAAUAACACCUUCUCAUCUGCAAGAUACACAAGGCCAGUGUUAAUAGUGUCAGAGGUUAACAAACAUAAGGUUACACAAUAAUAAUGAUUUAGAUCCAACAUAUGAAAUGAGUAAAGGGAAAUACUAAACUAAGCUCGAACAUUUUCACAGUGAAACUGUAAGAAAUCCAACCAAAUUAUCAUUGGAUAUGUCAUUGAGCUGCUAUGCGUGCAGUGGUGGACAAAACUGGCAAGCCUCAACACAAUAUAUUCUGGAUUGGUACGGUAGACCAUGUAAUGCAUGGCGGCCAAGAGGACACUGUAUAUACUUUCAACCAGCAACAACGAGAAAGAGGAGCUAUGGCUCAUGCGAAGCUAGAACCUUUUGCUGGUAUAUAUUCUCCCUGCAGAUGCUCCUCACAUCACUGGUGGGACAAGAUAGAAGCUCUCUGGAUGCGUUGGAUACAUGCGUAGUACUACCUCACAGGUGCUCACGCGGCCUGGAGCUAGCCCUCGCACCUCCACCAGGAUCAACGACAGGAAUGAACUCUAUUGGUCUACUCCAGGAUGCUCACCUCACCCAUUGCACGCACACAGGCACACUGACAAGCUAGCACGCGCAACCCUAGCAACCGAGUACACACUGACAAGCUAGCACGUACGCACAGCCCUCAACCUGAAUCGCGAAACUAACGUACCUUGCGUCACGGCGCGGAUGAGGGCAGCACGGCGGAUGGUGAAAUCCCGGAAGGUCCUCUCCACGGUGCCGCUGUACCGCGGCCUCGAAAUGGCCGGCGGCGGCACUGGCGCCGCAGGGGGCGGCGUCGCUUCCAUUUCCAUGGGCGCCGCCGUGUCUUGCUGGCCGCGGAGGGGUUGGGCUGCCUGCGGCGAGGAGGAAUCGGCGGCGGAUGGAUGCACAUCCAUGGCACGGCUGCGGAGCGAGAGAGAGGAUUUGGUCGGUGGAACGGAGAGGAGAACUGAGUGAGGGUUGGGGCUGGGGAUUGGAUCUGAGUUGCGGCGUCAGGGGUUGGUGUGGGGCCCGUGGGGUAGGUAGGGUUUUGGGGAUUGCUCUGAGGCUCUGACAACCUCGGUCGCCGCACACCGCUGCCUGAGCCGCGCGUCCAGCUGAGCCCACGGAGAGGCCGCGCGCGUGCCCUGGCCCACGGCGUCAGUCUCUCCCUCUCUGUCUCUGUCACCACAGGAAGCAUUCAGGAACUUCACCAUCCGCCGUGCAGCCUUCAUCCGUGCCGAUUGAAUUGUUGUUAAUUGCUACUACUUGCUCUCUCUAUUUUCUUCUUCUCUUGUCUCCCAGGAACUUGUGCGUUCAGGUUCUAAUAAGUUUUGACUUCAUGUGAACAGCAAUUAUAUGAAGAAACAUCACGGGCUUUAUUUUAUGCACUUAGACAACAGAGUAUGGAUAUUUUGAUGUGCGUAAUUGAUUUAAGUAUAAUCCUUUCCUUGGCUGCCUUCACGUUCUGAAAAAAUAGAACUUUGUCAUAAACAUGAUAAGAAAUAACAUGGUAUACCAAACACCGAAUGACUGUUUAUCUGUUUGGUCACAUUCCUGAAAUUUUGUUUCUUCUUAAGAGUUUAAGAAGGAAAUGUUGAAACUCACUACCCUAGUUCUUUUUUGUUAGUUAUUUACAGUCUCUACAAGGAUUUGUAGUAUAAUUGUGCUUUUCUUUACUUGUGCAAAUGUAUACAUUAAACACUACGAUCUCGGCUUUCUCGGCCCAAGGAGGCAUUAUGCUUGUGAACAAACUUAUUUUCUCUCUUAGCUCAAAGGCAGAUGAGAUCCUGCCACUCACCUUAAAGAAAACAAAUGUACAUACAUAAAACUGCGAUAUUGGAAAAAUCUCAUGUUAACUGUUGUCCCUGAAAAUCUUGGGCUUUUGCACUAUCUAAUGGUAGUCUUGUAUGUUCAUGCAGAUGAUUCUUUCACAAAUGUGAGCCAGGUGAGUGCUCUGUGGGAUUAAUCUCAGUUUCCUGCUCAAUGAAAUGACGCGACGACCAAACUAAGUGAGUGGGCGCAUCUUUCGUUGUAUUCUGUGUGUAGUUAUGACGCUCCUGUUCCUGCAUGGCAACACGGACAUGAGCUGGAAUGUGAAGCGCCACCUGAGCAGUCUGAGCCAGCACUCAGGCAUCAACACAUCGAGGGACAAUUGCAAUGGCAUCGAAUGGCUCCAAGAAGCAGCUAUGCACUGCGAGGCAUAUGGCUUAUCAACAUUUCCUUCUACUUUCGUUUACAUUUGACAACUAAAGAACGGUAAUAAAUUAUUUUCCCUCAAUAAAUAUGUACCUCGCGUCAGGCAAGAAUCGGUUCAUUAGAAGAAAUUUAGUGACAGCUAGAAGGUUUUUCGAAAAGCCUGUAUGAGUUUAACUCAUUGUAUUUUCUCUCCAGUCACAAAACAAGUGACAUUUUUGUUUAAUUUGUUUAAGUCAUCAACAGUUUCAAACUUAUUUGCCUAUAAACUACCAUUAUGCACAUGUUAAAUUCAUAUAUGAAGAUGGUGCAAGUAGAUUUGUUUCAAAUGUAGAUUCAUAAAAGCAUAAUUUCACUAUGUUUUACAAAUAUUUUGUAAUAAAAAGUACUAGUCAAUAUCUUUGGAGUACGUAGGGAGAUAAUGCAGAUUAUAUUAUUAAUAAAAAAAAGGUUCCACCAUAUUCAUCUAUUCUUGUUUAAGGGGGCGUUUGGUUCCCUUUGCUUAUUUUUAAGCAAGUGUCACAUCAAUGUUUAGAUACUAAUUAGGAUUAUUAAACGUAGGCUAUUUACAAAACCCAUUACAUAAGUGGAGGCUAAACAGCGAGACGAACCUAUUAAGCCUAAUUAAUCCAUCAUUAACAAAUGUUUACUGUAGCAACACAUUGUCAAAUCAUGGACUAAUUAGGUUUAAUAGAUUCGUUUCGCCGUUUAGCCUCCACUUAUGUAAUGGAUUUUGUAAAUAGUCUACGUUUAAUACUCCUAAUUAGUAUCUAAACAUUCAAUGUGAUGGGUGCUUAAAAAUAAGCAAACUAACCAAACCAGGGCUAAGUUUGUGGUUAGUUAGAUUUCAUAUACCAUGUUAAACAAAAAAGGAAAGUCCAUUUUUAACCAUCGAACUAUUGCUCGAGUUUGGUUUUGGCCAUAAAACUGAAAACUAGGAAUCUUAGACCAUCCAACUAACAAAAACCGUUCAUAUUUGACAAUUAGAAUGUUUUAGUUGGUGGUUUAAUUUUGCUGAUGCGGAAGACGUGUGGCAGUGGGACCUACAUGUCUGCUCUAUCUUCUUCAUCUCUUCUCCCUCACCCCCCCCCCCCUCCUCCAAGCUGUCCCAGGUGGCAGGCGGCCACUACAUCAUUCGCCGCCGGGUGGUGGGAGAGGUCAACAGCGACGGUGGCACCCGAAUCUCUCCCCAACCUGCGGCGCCUGAGCUCCAUGUGGCAGUAGGUAUCGAGCUCGUUGGUAUGGUGGUAGAUGAGGUGAGCCUGGUGUUUGAGUUUCAUAGUCAAAACCAAGUAAACUAGCAUACCAGUACCUAGCUAUCAUUUUUCGGCUGGUAUUUGGACCCAGCUUCAAGUAUCAUUAAAAUCUGGCUCGAUUUCAAAAAUUCCGGCUGAAAUUUCAGCUGAAAAGCAAUAUACCGGUCCUACCGGCCACCUCCGGUAUUUUUCCUUACUCCAGUGACUUGAACACUGCUCCGUGUGCGAAGUCCUAAGGCCUAACUUUCCGGUUGGGAAGGGGAGAUACGAGCGAAGGCCUACUAUGUAGUGGGGGUUCGCCUUUUUGUAAGCCUGCUUCUGCCUAUUCUGACAAUUGGAGAAAUCCGACGCACUCCGUAUAAUGAGAUUGUCUUGAGCAUGAGGUAAAGAACAAGUUAGAAGAUCCCUAGAACCUAAAGAGUAAGCAGUCCGCAUGGUAUGUAGUGCUCUUCUUCUGAUAUAGUAUAAAUUUGUUCCGAAUGUCUCCCUUGGGUGAGGAAGCUAGGAUGCAACAUUUUGUUCGAGUGGGGGGAAAAAGAACACUCCGUCCACUGUAGAUUCUCGGUUUUGCAGCAGCCGAAUCAUCUAUUCUUUGCUGCGAACUGGCACUAAUAUAAUUUUUUAUUGUUUAUUUAUAAUGGUUUUGUACUCGAUCGGAAAGAGGAAAACGAUUUUGAUCCCAAUCCUCCUAUCCUCAGCACUGUGGCUCCCGUUUUAAACAGAUUAAUUUUAGCUCCCUUUUUUGGUGUUUCGAGAUACUAACAUACUUUUCUCUGUUACUAUUUCGACUCGGCAUUUUUGUCAAACCACCAUCGCUUUGGGAGGAAUAUGUGAAGGACCGCCCGUAGGAGGUUUAGUGCACAAGGCCCCUGCAGAGGAAAAGCUUGAUCCCAGCGAAUAGAAGAUGCUCAGCUCCGCACAACUAUCAAUGAAAGAUCAGCAAGAGAAGAAAGGACCACGCCCCGAGGUGGCUCCCUUCCUAGCGGUGUUUGAGCGUAGCGACGUAGACAGGUUCUUUCCCAGGAGGUGACCACAUCAGGAUUAGCCUAGCCGGUAAGAAUGGAAGAGGAUUUUUGGUAUCACAUUCGUACUGACUUAACAUGAUCUGUCUCCCAGAAAUCUCAUGACGAUGCGAUAGUUCUUGUCCUGAAAAUAGGAGGGAACGGAGUCAAACGUGUUUCGGGUGAUACAGGAAGUUUGGUGGAAUAACCCGCUUUGCAAAUUUCUUUUUCAAGUGCUAAAACGAUGACGUACUGCAGUACCUAUCAAGUUAAUCACCGAGGAUUGCAUAUAAUCACUACCGGAAAUAGUAGGUUGGCCGUGUGUCCACGGCACACGGCGAAGCUCUAAAAACACUCGGCAAAGGCGACAAACAGCACACGGCAUACACAGUGCCGGCAAAAGUUUCUUUGCCGAGUGUGUUUUUUAUCGGGCACUCGGCAAAAACUUUCCCGAGUGCUAAAACCGACGCUCGGCCAAAAAAAAAAAAAGCAACAUGACGGUGCGAAGACAGUCACAGCGUGUUUGCCGAGUGUCUAACAGCAGCACAGGCACUCCGCAAACAUGCCUUGUUUGCCAAGUGUCCACGGAAAAAAAAAAACCUCGGCAAACAAGGCCACUUGGCCGAGUGUCACAGCUAUGACACUCGGCAAAGACUAGCCCCAAAAUGUAUAGAUUUUGGCCUCUUUGCCGAGUGUCACGACACAGACACUCAGCAAAGAUGGCCAUUUUAGUCCUAGAAUGUACAGAUUUUUGUCACAUGUCCUCUUUGCCGAGUGUAUUUUGCAUGGCACUUGGCAAAUAGGCCUUUUACUGAGUGUAACACUCGGCAAAGCUGCCACAUAUAAGAAGUUUAUUUGGUUCCGUCACAGCCAUGUACCACAUUCAAAUAAACAUCACAUCCAUUACAGAUAGUUCACAAUAGGCAUCACAAGCAGUUCAUAUAGAUAUAUCGACCACAUCACAAAUGCAAAUGAACUUCAUAAUCACAAAUAUAUGCAAAUAAACUUUAGAAUCACAAGUACAUAGUUCACAGUCACUCUCCAGGCUCAUCAUAAAUGCAAAUAAAUGGAGGCACUGUGACCACGGUGGCCACUGUGACCACGGUUGCUCUCCAGGCUCAUUCGAUGCCGCUGAUUGAUUCUGUACAAAGGAGAAGAGAUAAAUCAUUUAGAGUGAUUGAGAUCGAAACAUAAAAGUAUUAGAAAUAAACUAGCAACUAGAAAUAGUGAUUAAUUCUAUGGAAACUACGAGUAGCUAAGUUAUAGUGAUUAAGAACGAAACAGUGAUUACAAGGUUAAACUACAAACUAGAAAUAAACUAGAAAUUAGAAACUAGAAACAUACACACAUCACAAAGAAGAAAAGAUUGAUUCUGCAUAAACUAGAAAUGGUGAUUAUAAGGUUGUGAAGUGACUCACAGUGCCGGGUCGAGUAUUUGUAGCAGGUUGAGGAGGAGGGACUCGCAUUGCUGGCGGAGGUUGACCGAUUGCAGCAUAAACACCCCUCAUUAUUUCAAACAUCUGCAGUCACUCUGCCUCCAUCCUCUGCCGCUCGGCCUACAACCUCUGCUCGAUGGAUGCCUCUAGCUCCUCCCGUCGCCUCCUUUCUUGUUCCAGCUGGGCCUACAAUAUUUCAUCCCAAUGUUACAAUGCAAUGCAAAAGUAUGUAAAAAUCAAUGAACGAUGAAUAAAAUAGAAAUAACCUGGAGUUCGUCCAUCUAGAACCAUGUAGAGUCUGGCCGAGGGCGUAUUGUCGGGCUGGAAUUAGUGCUCUAUGCUCGAAGCUGAGAGAGAGAGAGGGAGUAUAGGCCAUAUCGGGUGUGCGUCGCCAAUCCAGAACCGGCCAUGCUUCUUGCCUUCUCCCGCCCUCAUGACCACUUCUCCAUCAAGGUCAUGUGCACUCGGAUCAUAAUCUGUACCAUGGACCACCCUUGCCAUCGAUGUGUAUCCAUCGAGGUGACUGUGGACGGUCUCGUUGCUAUACGCCGAGGGCGGGUCAUCCGGGUUGUAGGCGAUGCCGGCCGUCACCUUGCCCUUGUGGGCCAAAGCAUAAGCCUUGAACUGGGAGCAAAGCUCACCACCAUUUGCUGUUGACUGCAAACAAAAAGCAAUAUGAUUAGAAAUUUUGCAGAUAUGAGUGUUAGAAUAAAGAAAUGCAUUUGCGUACCCAUCUAGCCGUGUAUCCUAAGAGGCUGAGGUUGCCUUGAUGGUGUGGUGGACCUCUCAUCAUCAAAUGCCGCUCCCGGCAAGCAUUGUGAUGCUCCUCCCAUGCGGGGUCGCACCACUUGUCCACGAUCCGGGCCCAACACUGCAGAUCGUGGGCGCACCACCACGGAGGCACCUACGUCAUCAAGUAUAUGACAUAUAAGAAGAUGAAAUGAAGCAUAAUUAAUCUCAAACAUAAUAAGUAUUAAUGUUCUAUAUUUACCUGUAGGUAUUGUUCUUGGGUUAGCUUCAUGGUUCUAGCGUCCCUUUUAGUGACCCUUUCUCCAAGGUGUUCCACGUGGAAUUGGAUCACGGCCUGGACACACGCCUCAUAGUGCUUCAUGAAAGUCAUUUAACAUGUAUCCUACCUCGGCAUCAUAAUCCUCGAUGCGUUGUCUCACGACCUCGUCUCUCGCACGAUCAGAUUCACCAUGGUAGAUUCCACUGGGUAUAGUUUGCCAUAAAUCCAUUCUUGCAAAGAUGUUGACCCAUGACCUCAUUUGUUUGUCGACGCGAGUUUGCACAAAUACUGCAGGGACAUCAAGUGACACGUGGUCCUUUAACCCUUGCAAAUGCUAGUUCCAAGAAAGUAUCGAUCUUCUGAAUCCAUUCAUUGAUCCACGAACCCUGACGAGAGCGGCCCGUGUACAUCGACUCACGUUCAUGCACCUCUAACAUAUUAGCAAGUAAUAUAAAAAUCAAUUGCAUCUAAAAGUUCCUAUACUGUCUAUUAGGUGAAGAUAGGUCCUAAUCCCACCUGAGAAUUUGUAGAUAGGGGUUAGUUUCCAUGCUCUACUCCUAUCCGAGAUAGAAUUUUGGUAGCACCUCCCCGCUGCUCUCCAAAUACACGUCCUGACAAAUACAAGUAGGGAGAAUGUGUACCUAGAGAACAACAGGGAGAUGCUGCUGAAAAUUUGUCUUGAAUCAGAGUAGAGCAUGGAAAGUAACCCCAUCUACACAUCCUCGGGCUGUCCAAAAAACGUGGACAAUUCGAAAUAUAUACGGUUAUAGAUAUGCAAAGAUCUGCAUAUUUCCAACCGUAUCUCUUUCGAACAGGAGACGCCUAGCUAGGUUACAUGAUAUACAAACAUCCUAUAUUUCACAUCAUAUGGAAAGAGGGGUAUAGGAUGCCUCACCUUGCUGUAGGGCAAAGUGACGAGUCUAGGAUGGUGGGGAAUGAUGUUUGCAAUAGCCUCUCUUGCAACAAAGGAAAAUAAUAGUGUCAAUUAUAAAUUUUGGCAGCACUUCCCUUGCACAGUGAGGUAACCACAACAUGCAAAAAAUCAAAGGCACGAUGGCCGACAACAACAUACAUGGCUUAUACACAACAUACACAACAUACAUGGCACGGACCAGCGGACGGCGGUGGGAGGACGCAGUGAACGGCAGCGGGAGGGCGGGGCGGGCCGACGGGGCAGGAGGAUAGUGGCGGGAUGGCGGGGCAAGGAGCGGCGGAUGGUGGCUGACAACGGUGGCAGGAUGGGGUGGACGGCGGCGGGACAGUGGGAGGGCGCAGCGAACGGCGGCAGGGCGGAGGAUGGCCGAUGGCGCGGGCGUGGGGUGGAGGACGGCCGGCGACGGCGGGUGCGGGGCGGUGGCAGGUGCAGCGUGGGAGGGAGGUGGCGGCGGGGCGUGAGCGUGGCACAGUGGCGGCGAUGGGCACGGCGCGGGAGCGAGGUGAUGGCAGGUGCGGGUGAGGAGCGUAGGGCGUCGGGUACGGGUGUGGGUGAGUGGCGGCGGUUGAAGAAAACGCUAAGGACUAUAUACCUAAUAACAUGGUUUGUUGAGUGUCAGAUCGCUGCACUCGGCAAACCACAGCUUUGCUGAGUGUCAGAUCACGGCACUCGGCAAACCCAUCUUUGCCGAGUGCCCCAAACUCUAGACACUCAGCAAAUAUACUAAUUAUUAUUUCAUUUCCUUCUUUUCCAUAACGUAUUUUCUUUUUUUUGAUGUACAUUAAAAAUACCUUCAAAUUGACUCAACAAUAUAUAUAUAUAUAUAUGAUUUUUCUACGAAUAUUAUUCCAUUAUUUUAUGCAGUUACAGCUCAAAUUUAAUUUAUAUCAAUUAAAAUUCUAUAAUUGCACUUAAUAAAUUAAAAUUAUCAAAUGGAUCCAAAAGAUUACCAAAAUUUCACAUGAAACAAUCUAUGUUCUUUAUUGCCUAUACAAAAAGUUUUCAAGUCAAACCCUAAUUCGACCGUCACUUUGACUCCAAAUCUUACCGAGAUGCUUUGGUUUCCAUAAGUGUUUCAAUCUAUGUUCUCGACGCUACGAUUCUUCUUCUGAGAUGCUUUAGUUUGUAAACAUCGUGUGUGACAAAUUGUGUGAAACCUUCUUAAUUUUUUACCACAUCUUCCAUGUAUGAUAUUAUCACAUCAUGACAAAUCUCAUGAUUUACAGACUUCGUUUGCAUUUUUUAGAAUUUAAAAACCAAUCGGCCACACAUUCGUAGUCAUGUUUUCUGAACAAGAUGUUCGAAAUUUCUUUUCAUUUCAUGGGUAAGGCCUAACACUGGACUCAAUAACAUGAAUAUUAUUUUUCUACUCAUUUUAUUCUAUUAUUAGAAAUACUUAAAGUUCCAAUUUGACUUAUACCAAAAAAUUCCUAGAAAUGCAAUAAAUUAAUUAAAUAUAGCAAAUAGAUCCAGAAAUAUACCAAAUUAUAACAUGAAAUACCACAUGUUGUAUAUUGAGAGUAAAAAAAGUUUCAAGGUCAGAAGAGAAAAAAAAUAAAAUUAAUUGCCGAGUGCCACAGAUUUACACUCAGCAAACAUAUUAACGGAUUGACUCGUGCCACGUUCUUUGCCGAGUGUUUUUUUUUCCUUUUUUACCAAGUGUAAGUCUUUGAUGAGUGUUUCCACUAACGGACACUCGACAAACAUACUAACGGAUAUACACAUGGCACGUUCUUUGCCGAGUGGCUCCCUUUGCCGAGUGUUUUUUUCCUCUUUUGCCGAGUGCCAAAAUUUGCCGAGUGUCCAUGCAUGUUUUUGCCAAGUAUAAAUGUUUGCUGAGUGUUUUUUGAUCUGUUUACCGUGUGUUGCAUUUUUUACCGAGUGUUUUUUUAUUAGCAGUCGGCAAAUAACUUUUUUGCUGAGUGCCCGAUAGAAUACACUCGGCAAAUAUUUGGGCACUCGGCAAACCCACUGUUUCCGGUAGUGAAUACACUACUCCCUCCGUUCCAAAUUACUAUUUAUUAUAGCUUUUCUAGAUACAUAUGUAUCUAGACAUAGGUUAUGUACGUCAGGAUACAUAGUAAAACCAAGGUAUCUAAAAAAGCUAAAACAAAUAGUAAUUUGAGACAAAGGAGUACUAAACAAAGAUUUGUAGGCACGCUCCAUUUUCUAGGGUCGGAUCAUGGCAUGGCCCGCUCCUGAAAUGGCGGAAACAUCUAUUUCUAAUUGGCAUGCAGCACCGCGGCGCCGCGGAUGCUCACCUCCCACCAUCGUUCAGCCACCGGCCGCACUUGCCGCCAGCCCAACCGGCGCUGUCGCCAGACAGAUGGCUGACCCCAACCAUCCCUCUUGUAACAUCCUGAGUGCUUAAAUGGUGUCUUAAUCUUAAGAGCAAGUCCUUGUGCUUAGAAAAAAGCUUUAGCAACUUUUAGGCAAAGUCCAAGCUUUGGGGCUCUCUAAUUAGAGGUUUCCAAUGUCAUCUUGAGUUGAGCCCUAUACCAAAGUUUUAGAGCUUCGGGACCUUAACAACUUUGCUUUAAGGAGCAAGUUUGAAAUCUGCCCCAAAAGCCUUCAAAAUCCAAGUCAAAGUUUCCGAGUUUGGUCAACUCAGCCUCUUUAGCCAUUCCGGCUAAAGUCUGGAAAAUCAGCCUGACCUAGCGCUUUAAGGCAGGUUGAUCUUUGGAAAGUUGAAUAGAACAUCAGGAAGUCCUUUUGUAGAAGUUGGAGAAUGAAGUUCCUACAACAACUUUGCUAAUUGGACCUUGGUCCAAUUCACCUCCUAAGCUUCCCAAAUCUGCAGCUCAAAUCCGCCCCGACCCCUGAAAAUCAGCAAAACCAUUGUUUUUCCUUAAGUCCUGAAACCGGUGUUCCUCCAAAAUUUGGAGCUUUGAAUCUCCCAAUCCACAGUGUUUUUAAACUCGAUCAAAUUACAAAAGUUGGACCUUAGUCGGUGUACUACAACUCUUGUAAAGGGGAGCCGACGUGGCGCAGUUUGAAAAUCGGGAGAUCCAGAGGCUUGAAGGUGGGCCCGGCAGAGGAUCUCGCGGAUCCUUCGGCCAGACAGCGCCAGAGCGUGCGUGCGCCGUGCUCAGAGCGCCGCCGCCGCGCGGCGUGACCCCACCGGCGAGCGUCACCUCGCCCAGUCGCCGGCCGCGACAAGAUAGAUCAGCGCGCCCUUUUUCCCAGUCGCGCACAGAAGGGCCCUGCAGACCCCUCCGCCCCGUCUCGUCUCGCUCGAGACCUCGCCAGCCGCACCGGGCGCACUGCUCGCAGCUCCACCGUCGCCCCGGCCACUCUGCGACCGAAGACCAGCCACUGUCGCACCAGUACCGCCUCGCCUCCCACGCACAUCCGUCUCAUUCGGAUCCCCGGCCGAGCGUCCCAACGCCUUUCGGCCCAUCCGUCACACCUCAGUCGCGCGCUGCCCACGCGCGCGCCCCGCGACGCUACCGUCUUCGCCAACCGCCGCGUACGCAGUGACAGCUCCUUCCCCUGCCUUGCCAGUAGCGUGCCCCGGCAGAGCCGCUAGCCCCGCGCCUGCUCGCGUCACACCACUCGCCCUGACACCUCGCCUGCAGCGCCCUCGCCUGCAGUGCCCCUCCCUCCCUGUUGUCCGCCAAUGCCGUCGCCAUCGUCCCACGCCUUCGCCCGCUCGCCCAAACGGCGCCCGCGUCUUCCUUUCCCUCGCACGCCACGCCACUGCCGCACACCGGCCGAGCCGCCGCACCCAAUCUUGCGCUUGACGCGACCAGACACACACUCGACCUUGCCAAUCAUUCCACCCAGCAAAACCGCGCUUGCCUGACGCUAUCUCCCUUGUCCAAUGCCCGGAGGAUCCUGUCCCCGGAGCUCCGCUUCUCCGGCCAAUGGAGGUGCCGACCAAUCGCUGCCGCGACAGAGCACUUCUUCUCCCUCGAUCUUAUCCUCACGCCCGCUCAAGCUCGAUUCCUUCCUCCGAACAUUUCCGCGCAGCUAUAAAAGGGGUACCGAAGCCUCUUACUGGAGUUCGCUUCGCUACCACCGCCUUUGCCUCAAUACUUUCUUUGUUCUUCUCCAUUGCAUUCGCCACCGCACACUCCUAUGCUUCACGCCCAAGCGCCACCGCCUGAGCUCGUCAUGGAGCUCCCCCUUCCACCCAACACCGCACCUUGCUGACCCCACCAGUCAUUUUGCCUUCCUCUCGCGCAGCUCUAGAGGUUGCUUGUUGUCCACAAGAAGCACCACUACCACCGCAGCACCGCCAAACCCCGCCGCCGCCGAAACACCGUUGUUCCUCGUUCCGCCUCGGCUUGGUUCUUCCCGACCCCGAGACCUCAUCAGUGGGAUCAAAGGUGAGAUGCCGACCCCCCUUCCAUCUCACCCGACCCCUUCUGUCUCACCCGACCCCUUCCGUCUCGCCCAACUCGCCCGAGUGUUGUCCGCCUCGCCCGAGGGCUCAGUUGUGUCUUUUUCUUUUUGACCGAGGGUAUCUGUGUAAAAUUCUGAGGACUCCUCUGUGUUAAAUCUGAGGACCCCAGUGUAGUCUUUCCUUAAGUCUAAGGGUCUGAUCGUAAGUUUUUCCUGAUCCGACUCUUUUAACUUGUUCUAAAUCGACAGAAGCUUGGAAAUUACACCUUAAAUCGACGAAAAAUCAGAAAAAUGUGAAAUCACUUGGGUUGGAAUCCUCAUUCUGAGUAGAAUCCAAUAAAGUGGGUUUCACACCUUUUCCUGUAGUUUUGCUACAGUUUUGGGGUUAAAUCUUUGCACUGCUGUUGAAAUCACCGUCUCAGUGUCUCACCCUUGCAUUGCAUUUCGUAUAGAGCUGAACCUCAGUGACGGCACAUACGAGCUUCACCCGGUGCCCGAAGAUGAAGUCGUAGUUGAGCCGCCACCUGCAGGAGUCGAGCCCGUGCUCACCGAGGACCAGUUCGCUACCGUCCCGCUUGAAGGCAAGCCCCGAAGCAUAACCCAAUUUUUCUAAACUUGUGCAUGCCUUCUGGUGUUAUGUGUGUGCAUUUACGUUCCAGGAGUUGAUUGAAACCAUAGAUGCAUGACUUAGUUUCCUUUGAUCUGAACACUAGUAUGAUAGGCCGAGUAGCUGCUUUGCUUAAAUAGGACUCGGUAAAAGUCAAGUGAUUUCCUGUCACUCGCAAGUUAUAGGAGUUCCUUGCUUCUGUUUGCUACAACUAUAAGGAUGAUGGACAGGGCAGGGCUCUGUGAACUAUUUUGGUGGUCAGUGGAUGACCCCGUCUGUCUACAUGAAAAUUGUUAAGGUCGAAAAGUGAUGGUGUUCGUGAUCAAGUGCUUGAAAGUACUAAUCUCAUACCUAGUAUGGGAUGGGGAAGCCUAGUACCUGAUUGAACCAGGACGCGAGCAGUUCGAUCCACUGUCUCUGGAAUGAAGUUCCCUUGCGGCCGCAUGUGGUGGCAAGUGCGGUCACAGAACGGCAAAGGCCGGGUCUGUGGAGCCUUGUACCAAGGGAAGUGGGUCCGACACAGGUCUGGGGAUUGAUGGGGACGGCCGACAAAGGAAGAGAACUUUGUGUUGCGCGGAUAUCGUGAGAUUAGGUUCGCCAUGCAUGGUUAAGAAAUUCGAAUUGAUUCGUCUGCCUCUCACAGUUUGGGACUACUUGAUCGCUAUGCUACACUGAGUAAAGAUGGAACUUGAUUGUGAUGUUAAUAUGAAUGCUUGUCAUAAAUUGCUUGGAAACUUUUGCUUGUUUAGUAUAUCUGCUAACUUAGAUUGGUAAAUGAACCUAGAACCUGUGGCUAAAAUAUUGAAAGUAAGGACCUACCGUAGUUGCUUUUGGCAAAAACAAACCCCUCAGCCAGAAAGCUUGCAUGUCUAGAAGUUGGUGGAUUAGUACCACCGGUCGGUUAAGUCUUGUUGAGCGUAGUCACUCAGCCUUGUUGUGGCAAAUCUUUUCAGGUAAUGUUGAAGCUCCUGAGUUUGCUGCCCGUGGCACUUGCCUCCCCAACUUCCUCCUGGGUGGACGGUCGAGUGGGAUCCCUCCUCGGACGGCGAGGACAGGGACCAUUGAUGUCAUGAUCGGCCUCGUCAUGACAUCCGACCCUGAUGCUAGCUUCCGCUCGUUAUUUUGUUUCUGCUGCUUAAGAACUCUGAAAACUUUGUUGAAUUUCGAACCUGAGAUUGUAAUAAGUUAAUGUACUUGUUUAACUUGGAUGAUCUAUUGUAUUCUCUAGAACCACUCACCUUCGUGUGAGCUCUGCUUUCUCGGUCCUGUGUAGUGGUUUAUCGGAUGAAAUCCGACGGACUGCCGAGUUAACUUGAUUAAAGCAUAUGAUCGCGUGUCAAGUGACUUAAUUGUGCUUUAGCUAAGUUAAUUAGGGCGGUUCCGCCACACCUCUAUGGGUGCCUUUGGUUGGGGCUAAAAAGUUGUACAUGCUUUUGCUCUAGUACAAAUGCAAAAGCACCACCCCUUGCUUUCAAGUGCUUUUGGGGUAAAAAAUUACCAACCUGCCACUGUUUAUGAAGGUAACGGUUCGUUUUUUGGAUCCAUUUCUCCCACAGUCCUCCGUCACAACCAUCCGCCUCCCGUAUUCGAGCGCCGCCCCUGGCGGACCGUCUCCCUCCGCUCCCGGUCGCCGGCCCACCGCCCCCUUUGCCGGUCCACUUGCUGCCUAAUCCAGUCGCCGCCCCCAAUCACCUGCCACACCCCGCCCCCGGCCGCCGCACCGCGCCGCCCGCCUCCGGCCACCGCUCGACAUGCCCGCCCAGCGCCGGUCGUCGCCCGCCGCGCCUCGAGGUAUGAAUCCUUUUUCUGAUUUGCUCAUGUGCCUGUGGUCUAAACACCACAGAUUACUGAGUGGAUGUAAAACGUAGAAGAAGUUGUUUCUUAGUUCAAAAAUUUCUGCUGCUUGUGUGAUUUAUCUCCAUUGUAAACAUUGACUGAGAUUACUGUUUAGCCAACCUUAAAUCGAUUUAUUCACCUCAUGUUUGAUGUGUUCAUGCCCUAGCAAUUGUCCUCACUUGGAUGGAUUUUCACUAAUGGGUCAGAUUAUCCUUGUGGAAGUGUAUGACACUAGGAUAUGGUGAUAUGAUUUCCACUUCUUGAUUUGUUGGUAAGGAAAUAAAAAUGUCAUAUGUGCUCCUGAUAUGGUCUUAUGGAGUAUGGUUUUCUAGUACAUGAAUGUGUUACUGUUGGACUAUGUCAAACUACAUAACAAGACCUGACUAUCUGACUAUGUAUUAUAAUUACUGUAAUUCACAUGUGAGGGAUGUGGAAUCUAGCACUUUGUUCUUGUUCUUAUAAUUUAUUGAAGUCAUAGUAUCUUUCAUUAGUCAUAUGAAUUGAAUCAAACAAUAUUUUUGGUUGGUUGAAGAAUGAGUGACAAGGCAGAUUGAGGUGAUGCUUUUUUAAGGCAUUUGAUUGAUGCUUGCAAAGAAGAGAUUGAAGCCGGGAAUAGGCCGAUGGGAAUUUUCUCUACUACCGGUUGGAAGAAUGUUGUUUCCAAGUUUGCAAAAAAAUCCGGUGAUAGGAGAACAAAAAAACAAUUGAAGAACAAGUUAGAUCUUCUGAAAAAGGAGUAUUCAACAUUUAUGGAGUUCAAGAAUUGUACCACCGAUCUUGGAUGGGAUGAGGCAAAAUGAACUGUUGACUGCUUAGAAGAAUGGUGGAACGAACACCUUGCUGUAAGAAUUAUGUUGUCAUUUUAAAUAUAUUCUUCCCAUUCUUUGUUAUUUGUUGCCUUGCUAAUUUUUUUUAAUUUUAGAGAUGCAACAAUCGUGAGAAAGGAAUCAAAUGCCACCAUGUGAAGUUUCGAAAACAAGGACCCAAGUUCCUUGAUGACCUGCAUAUCUUGUUUGGCAAGGCACAUGUAAGUGAGUCUUCUGCAUCCUAUCUUGUAGAUAUAUCCUCCAAUGAGGCAAGUGAUGAGGAUGUGGAUGAGGUACCAAAACCUACAUAGAAGAAUAUGACAGUGAACCUAGGAAAAAGGAAACGCAAGGGUACCUCCAUUGGUGUUGAAGAGGAGGAUGAGAAAAGCCCAUUCUUUCAUUUGUAUAAGAAUACUUGUUUGAAGAUAGAAAAUGAUGCAGAGAGGAUCUCCACAAGUGUUGAAGCAUCAUCAGCUCCUCCAACCAACCUAGUUCCUACCAUUGCAGAGACCAUAAAGAUGGUGAAACAAUGUGGGGUGCAAGAAGGAACUGCUCUAAAUGUACACAGCCGCCUCCCUAAUUGUUAAGCCUGAAUUUAGAGAGCUCUUUAGCUCUCUAGAAACAACUAAAGGAAGACUCAAUUUGAUUGAGAGGGAGCUAGAAAAGGAGAUGAUGAAGCGCCACUGAUUUGUUUCCAUGUUUAUCAGAUUAUUUUCUUGUCAUAUGUGACAACAAUUUCCCUAUGUUGAACCAAAAUAAGUUACCCUAUAUUGAACCAAUUUACCUGGAGAUGUGAAACAUUAUUUAUCUAUUAUUGUGUUAUGUUGAGCUUCUUCAUUUAGUAUUGUCAUGAAAGUUGUUGUAUUUAAUUAUUAAUAUACUAAUGUCUCAUGUAGAUGGAUGAUAGAUUAGGAGAUGUAGCCAAAGGAGGAUAAAAGGAAUACUAUUGCUAGCUGAACUUGCUCAGCAUGUUGGUGCUAUUGGAGAAAUGGGCAAUAGUUCACAUGAAGUUUCACGAAGUGUUGAAGUGUUUGCGCAAAUUAGCUAAGGACAACAUUAAACCGAGAGAUCCUACUUUUUUUACGAAGCAUGAAAGGGUGAGAGAGGACUGUUUUUGGCCAUACUUUAAAGGCGCAAUUGGAGCAAUAGAUGGUUGGUUGUGCCAGUGGACGAAGUAGUUAACCACACAUGCCAUCAUGGAUAUACAUCUCAGAAUGUGCUAGCUAUUUGUGAAUUUGACAUGAGGUUCACCUUUGCGGUUGCCGGGUGGCCAGGUUCUGCACAUGACACAUGUAUCCUCAACCAUGCAUUGGCAAAUUUUCCUUUAUUUCCCAUGCCUCCUAAAGGUAUACAUGGUUCCUUCAUCAAGUUCACAAUACUUGUAUUAUUAUGUACCUCACUAACUUGGUACUAACUUGGUUUUGUAUGAAAGUAUUAUCUUGUGUACUCGGGUUACCCAAACCGAAUUGUGUAUAUUGCGCCUUUCAAAGGGAGCACGUACCAUAUACCAGAAUUUCAGCAGCGUUCGGGGCCUACUCAAGGAAAGUACGAGAUGUUCAAUUUCUUGCAUUCAUCUCUUCGUAAUAUCAUUGAAAGGUCUUUUAGAGUCUUAAAGCAGAAAUGGCGUAUUUUGAAGGGCAUGGCAAGUUUCUCACCUCGUACUUAGAAGCAUAUCAUUAUGGCUUCUCUUGUAUUGCAUAAUUUUAUCCAUAACAGCAAUUUGUGUGAUAAGGAGUUCAAGAGAUGUGAUAAUGAUGAUGAUUACUUGGUACAACAUACAAGUGGCACGAGACAAACAUAAGGAGAUAAGAGUGACAAGGUGAAAAAUGAAGAUACCAUGAAUAUCAUUCGUACUAGGAUAGCUGAUGCUUUGGUUAGUGCAAGAGGAGGACAGUAAUAUUGAGGCAUGGCAUCAUUGUAUGAAAGUUUUGAUGGAUAUUGUUCUAUUUAUAUGGACCAAUCACUUUAAUGGACGAAGAACAUAUAAAUUUAUUUAUUUUUUUAAAAUAAUUAUUUACAUGCGAAUUAGUGAAUACAUUAUUUUGUUACAAGUAAUUUGCAUAUAAACACACCCACAGACCUUUAAGAGUAUUAUAGGUAUUUCUUCCACAGCCUACCGAUGCUUCUUGUUUUCAGGUGUACGGCCGCGUGACGAUGAACAACACGCUGUGCCUCGGCGUGUACCUGGCACUGGGGUGUUUUUUGUUUUCAGGUGUACGGCGGCGUGACGAUGAACAACACGCUGUGCCUCGGCGUGUUCCUGGCACUGGUCUACUUCCGUAACCUGACGUGGGACUUCUCGUCGGAGGUGUUGAUCAGCGAACUCAUCUGCGUCGUCGUCGCCCUCUUCACCAGCUUCAGGAACACGUUCCCGCUCUGGACCUGCCUGGUCGCCUGCAUGUUCUACCCGCUCUCUCUGGGCAUCGUCUACAUUCUCGACUACGUCUUCGGUUGGUCAUAGGCUCCGAUCAGUUUCAUCCUGCGAUUUUAACUCCUGUAUCCUGUAGUCAGUUUGGAAGCGGGGCAAAAAAAAAAAAAGCCUACUGCGCAUCCGGGGAAUCGAACCCCGGUCAGUACCGUGGGAGGGUACUAUGAUACCACUACACCAGAUGCGCCUAAUUGUUAAACGCAGUUUAGGAGUAUUAUUUAACUGCAACUUCCCUAGUCACCUGUUUGGUUUCGCAAUCGCUAGUUCCGUGCAUAACUGCGUACUGCCCCGUAGAGAUGAGCGCAAGGAUUUAUGAGUUUAUGAUCGUAGGUACUUUGAUACGCCUCUACGGGAUUUAUGAGUUUUCAAGGUUCAUGUAAUAAAAUUCGCUAGUAAUGGUGGGGUGUCUGAAACAAAGAUUUAUGGAGGUAUCCUGAAAAAGGUUGUGUAGUAAUCUUUUUUUUCUAAACAUGUCGUUUUACCUUGAAUGGAUCCCUAUGUUAAUCUUCACUAGAUGCGUAAAAAAAAUUGAAAAAUUAUAGAAACUCUCACGGAAGCGUAGACAUCCGGCCAUCAAUUAUGUAACUCUAGUAUCCAUUCACAAUAAUAAUCGAUGGAUAUAAUAUACCCACCUCUGUUGUUAUUUAUGAAAAAUAACCUAAUAUAUCCUCCUCCUAUGUCUAUAUCUAAAUUACCCAUUUUUAAUAUUGUAAAAGGUAUAAAGUAAUCCUCUAAAGUUUUAUAUUAAUUGUCCACCUCUGCCUCUUGAAAAUGGAAGCUAUAUAUGCACUACUACUGCUAUCAGGACACGUGUGAGCUUAGCUUUUCAUCAAGAGUUAGCUGUGAUGUUUUUACAUUAUUCAUUAAUUAAAAUAUUAACUUCACUAGCUCGACACUCCCUUGUUGGAAAAACCCUAACAAUAUUGCAUGAUAUAAUAGUACACCACCAUACUUUUUGUUUCAUGCUUCCAGCCUCCAAACUCCACAACCAAAGACCCAGGCUGAACUGCAUGUGAGGAUGUAAGUCUGAACUACUCCCUCCAUCCUUUUUUUUAUAAAAAAGGACGGAGGAAGGUAGUCAACAACCAAAGCUGACUGAGUAAAUGAGUCAGCAAAUGCUAGCAAGCGUCCAGCAACAGAAGGCUGCAGACUGCAGGCAGCCCGGCAAUGCGCCGACCUACGAGAAGGUGCUCGUACACGGCUCUCAAUCCAGCCCUUGGCAGCGCAAGUAGGCACAUCAAAUCUCAUUCUCUAUUUGAUUUGUCUUCCUGAUUCAAAUAUUAAAUUUUUGCAACACAUAGAUCUAAAAGAUCGUGCGCUAAUGUUUCAAGCAAAUUGUUAUUAAACCUGAAAGAAAAGCGCGACUCUUUCUACAAGAAGAAAUAGAUUGCAAUGGGGUUCAGUCCAUGAUGGGUACAACCAGGGGCGGAUCCAAAACGGGGCUUCACCCCGGGCUAAGUUGCUGAAUCACAGCCAAAACAGUCUAAUCUUGCCUCGUAAACCUCCUUUUGUUAGGCUAAAUACCACAUAUAUUAAAGGGACUACAUGGGCUCGCCCCGGGCUGCAGCCCGGGCAGCCCGGGCCCUAGAUCCGCCCCUGGGUACAACUAAAAAUGAUUUGCAUGCUAUGAAGUCACAUAGUAUGCCUAAAAUUUUAGAUCACCUAAUGUUUUCCCAGAUAAAAUGUGAGUCCAAAAACUAUGUUUAAUGUUAUGAAAACUUAAUGCAAAUAAUAAAAGGUAGAACUUUUGGCAGCGUCUACAUUUCUCAUUGCAAACGAUGUUGUCCGGCCCUCCCUAUAUUCAUAUUUUCUGGUUCUGCCACUGCAUGUGCAGUAUACGGCGCCACUUUGGCUAGUUACAUUGGAAAUUUUGAACGGUCAUAUCAUGCAGAUCAGUGGAGGUAAGCAGGGUUGCGCGCGGGCCAGCGGAAGGCGCCAAGGCGGAAGAGUAGGACAGAGCCAGACAGCGGACAAGUCCUCUACAAGACCUACAUCUCAUUACGUCCAUGACCAUGAUAAGACAAGUCGAAGGUGCAUUGAUCGUGGUGGGUCAGCAUACCUCUUUUUUUCUUCUGGCGUUGCAAGAACAAGCUUUGGGUUCCAGCCUUCCAGGUGAAAACGCAGCAAGCCAGCCACCGCGCUAGCUGGAAUCUCAGCCCGCCAUAGCACCAUCAAGCUGACCCACCAGCCACCACAGCCCAAUCGCGCAGGUAAGCUUUCUUUCUUUUAUUUUGUUUUUUCUAGUUAUUUAUGACCUUGUAUAUUCAGAUAUUAAACUAAUAUAGUAAAUAUUUAUUAAAGCUUAGUCCAACAAUUCUAAUAAACUAGUUUACUAUUUUUCAAAAAAUUAUAUGAAAAUGCUGAAGCGCUAUAUUCAAAAUGUGGAAUAUGUACGUUCAAAAUGUUGAAGUGGUAUAUUCCGAAUGUUGAUUUUCAAAAAAAAUAAAAUAAUAUUAAUAUUGGAUAUUACUUUAUUGCAUAAAUUCUAAAUAAUACUAUGGUUUAAAUGAAAUUUAAAAGGUAUUUGCGUGAAAGAAAAUUGAAACCAAAGUUUCAAAUUCAAAAAGGAAUCCGUCCAUCUUCCUCCCCACCAUAGUCAAACACGCAUAUUGGCACCUAUCGCCUCCACCCAAAACCGCAGCAGCAUGUCGCGAGAAAACCGUGGAAGCACCUCUUCCAUUAAUUUUCAUCCUGUCCAUUUAUUUUGAUCUGCAUGAGUAUCAAGUUGUGAAAGAUGGCUACUAUAUGCUUUUUGAAAGGUAGAUAAGCAACUUAUCUUUAAAGCCAUAUUAAGUACAUGUAUAGCUUUUUUUUAACAUCCAUCAACAUUUGUUGACAUUUAUCUACAUUUUUUUUACAAAAUAUGCUUUAAUUGUUACCAACAUUUCUUGACGCUAGCCAAUAUUUGUUUAUAUGUACCAACAUUUUGUUAACUUCUUUUACACUUACCAACAUUAUUUCUCAAUAUUUUUUUACACUCACCAGCAUUUUUUGCAUCCAUCAAUAUUUUUUUGACAUUUACCAACUUUUUUUCUAAAGAUGUUGAGCUAGUUAUUUGACUACUGUUGGGUUAUCGGGAAAUCCGUGUGGGAUGGACUUGCGACCAUGCCUGACCCGUCAGGCAAAUCUUUCGGCCUGUUGUCUGUCAGGGCUGUGACUGAGAUUGGGCCAAAAUCUGAUCCGAGGCCUCACUGAGAGCCCAGCCCACCUGCCGCCGCUUUCCUCCCUUCCCCUUCCCCGUUUUGCUGUCGCCGCCGGCAUCCUUCCCCUUCCUUCCACGGUUCCACCUAAUUCCGAAGAACGGCGGCCGCCAGGCAAACACCUGGUGCUCCUGGUUCCAUCCGAGGAAGAGAAAAAGGGCACGCACUCAGAUCUCCGACAACGCGUGGAUUGGAUCGGUAAUCCAUCCUAAUUUACGGUUUGUUCUCGUUGGUAAGAAACACUAGCAAGAUGAAAUUACGGGGGAAGAGACACCCGUGAGAUAGAGCCUGCACGAUGGUUUAUUACAUUUUAGGCGUGGAUUUUGAACCGGGAGAUAGAGCUUACCUGCUUGGCUGCUUCUGUGAGCAGUCAAGUUGGCUGUUUAACUGAAAACCCAUCCCCCAACGCUAACUCCAUCCUGCACGAGGGCACACUAUUAUUUUCCUCCAUUUUCCAUGUUUUCAUUGUGAGGUCCUAGCUGCUCAAAAGUACAAAUGUUGCUAGUGUCAUGGUGAAUAAGAUAUAUAGCAAUGUACAACUUCUCUGAAAGUUACCAUUCCCUAUCCUGUCAUUUUCAUAGACUCCCACGGUUGGUUCAGGCGUUGGUCCUUUCUGUAAAUCACGACUCGUCUCAUAAUAUGAGGACCAUGUUGUGAGGCAUUUGGUUCUUCAAUCUUCAUGGUUCCUUACUUUAACUGUGUUUCAAGGAGGCUCACUUCGUUGUCUUUGAACACAUAUACACCUGUUGGUUGGGGUAGCUGUGGCGGGCAAAAGUUUUCAGAAUUUUUCUUACUAGCCGGUGGCCACUCCAACUGACAUUAUUGUCACCUGCCAAUCAGGUGACUUUCCGUUGUCCAUAGCAGAGAAAAGAUGGUUAAUGCAAUCAAGGGGUUGUUCAUCUCCUGGUAAGCUCAUGAGAAAAGUAAUUUUUUUUUUGAGGGGGUCUAUAAUCCGCACUAUUGCCAUUUCUUCUUCUCAGCGAUAUUCCAAUGGCACAGUUCAUUGUUAAUCUGAAUGCUUCAAUGCCUGCAUUGGAGAGGUUCAUCGUGCACAUGCUCGAUCCCACACACAUGUUUGUUCAUCCUCAUGUGGCUGAGAUGAUCAGAAGCAAGAUAGCAGAGUUCAGGAACCAGAACAGUUACGAGAAGCCUCAGUGAAGGAUCAUCCUACCCCGCAUUUCCUGUGUCACCCUCUGUGUAGAUAUAUUGGCUAAUAUCCAUGUAGAAUGCUAUGUUGUAGUAUGGAUGGAUGCCAUGCCUCCUGAUGAUCUAGAAAUGAUACUUGUUUUGCAUUACAAAAUAGUGACUUGUUCUGACUCCUUGGAGAGCCUUUUAUCUGCUGAUGCAUCAUGUGGUGCAUAUAAAUUGAGCGUUCAACUUGGUUGCUGGUGGUCCUCAAUGCGGGAGGACCAUUGAGGACCCUUAGCCGAGUCGCCGUUGCCAACUCUGAAAUUCCAUUGCUUUACACUAAAAGCUCAUGCAUAAGUGCAUGCUAUCGUUUGACAAACAAACUCAUUUUCAUCACAUGGAAAAAGCGGGUGUGCAGAUUGUUAACAGUUCCGAAAAACAAAAGGCUGCUACAAUCUCGCCGUUUCUACCAUAUCAAGGGUGGCUAGUGGAUACUAAAGUUCUAUCAUGCAACAAUCUAGAUGGUAAUUACAGAAAUAUGCAUAGCAGUAAAGCCACUUGUAGAGGUAAACGUGAUCUGAUUGGAGCUUCAAGGAGUUAAACACACUUAGCCUGAUUUUAUAGAAUGCUUGUGUCCAGCAGAAACAUCUUUAUCUUUUCAUAGAACGCUUAAAACGAAAUCAAAUGAUAAAAACAAGCACCAAAAAAUAAUUGCGUAUCAACUACUUGAAGGUUCAAAAUAGCACAUGACUUCACUGUUCAGAACAGCCCCAUGGCAAUGCAUGCGUCCAGCAGGCACGUCUACAUCUUUUGAUAGAAUGCUUACAGCAAUGGUUUUCUGUAGCCUAAAAUGUAAGAAAUCAAGCCUCAGCAG
RNAcentral lists this long non-coding RNA (48637 nucleotides) under Setaria viridis. RNAcentral's name for it is "long non-coding RNA (SVIR_LNC002964)". The record is from RNAcentral. Lineage: Eukaryota; Viridiplantae; Streptophyta; Magnoliopsida; Poales; Poaceae.